This 56833-nucleotide long non-coding RNA is filed under the name Aquilegia coerulea. RNAcentral describes it as "long non-coding RNA (ACOE_LNC000587)". The stretch from base 30883 to 30954 matches the Rfam family "tRNA". The record is from RNAcentral. Lineage: Eukaryota; Viridiplantae; Streptophyta; Magnoliopsida; Ranunculales; Ranunculaceae.
AAACCUCGUACUAAUGGUUCGAUAAAACUUUUAUAAUACCAAAACUACCCUCACAAUCAGAGAUUUGAGUUUUCUUUCUCAAAUCCAACGCCUCUCAAAUGAGAGAUUUGGGUUUUCUUCUCAGCUUCUUUGUUUCUGCUCGUGUUGCUUUUUCGAUCUCCUUUUCUUCUUCGUCUCUCAUGAUUCUUCAAUCUCUUCUUCUCGUUCAAAAGACUGAUUAAUUGAUUGAUUUGUGUCGAAAUUGCAAGGUUAUUUUUUGUUUUUUUAGAUUUAUUAUGAACCAUUUUAUUGCUUUUGCUUUCAUUGAAACAAUUCUUAACCGAUUUGCUUAUAAUGCUUUUUUUUUUUUUAAAUAGUCAUUUCUUAUAAUGCUUUAAUUGGGGAUUUUAAAGCAACUUCUAAGGAAAUUGGAUUAUAGUUCAUGUUCUGAUUUUAUUGAUUUACGAUUGGUGGUGGAUUGAAUUAAAUUUAGGGGUUCUGGUGAUUAAUUUGGGUUAGUCAAUUUGAUAGGGUGAGGCUCUCCCAUUACUUAAGCAUUCAUGAUGUAAUCUGUAAAGGAGAUAAUCUUUUCCAUAUUCUUCCUAAAGAGUACACAUUCAGAGUGAUCAUUGGGAAGAUGGGUUCAAGUCCUCAUUCUUACUCAUGUGUUCAUUUUUAGUCAUUUAUGUUGAAUAAUGCCAAUAAGAGAAAGUGGCUGAGUUUUGAAGAGUUUGCACUGUAAAUUAGACAUGGUUUUCAGAAUGGUUCUUGUGGAUAAUUGAAUACUUUGAGAUGGUGGUGGAAUAUUGAUAGACUGUAUAUUCAGCUAGAUUUAGAUCAUUCAUUAAUAAAGGUGCAUGGCUGCUAUCGACGUAACCUGGUCGACCCAUGAGUCUGAAGAAGAAGGCCUUCCUGACCUGAAAUAAACUUCAUGUUUGAGAAAACAGUCCAAAUACAUUCAUUUAGUACACAAAAAACACUUGAAUUGCGAGAAACAAAUUAAUUUUCACUUACCAUUUUUGUAUUCCUGGGAAAUUAAUUAUAUAUAUGUCAAAUAACUUAAAUAGUUAAAUAUGUAAGCUGAACCUUAAUUUGUACAAACCUGCUCAUGCUUAUGACUUCAGAGCCUCUAGAAACUGCUAUUUUGCAUAUAGCAGAAUCGACAAAACCAUUUCCUCCUAAAACUACAACCUACAAAGAAUAUAUGGCAAACCAAAAUGAUAGAUAGAGAUUAAUAAGCUUUUAAUACAUAUACCCACUCAAUUUUGACAUCGGGCGACAAUAUUAAUUGGAGGAGUUGUAAAUUUAUUUGUUUAUUCACGUCACCAUAACUAUUUUGUUUCGUCCAAGGUGGAGAGGUGGAUCCCUUUAUUAAACAAGUAGCUUGCUUGUUUCUGUUGGAUUGGGGAUGGUGGGAGGGGAUGAAGCUACAGCUACACUUGUCUGGACACAUUGCGUAUAGUGCCUUGUUGGUACGCAAUGACAAAAAAAGAAAUAUUAGUUCACUUAAUAGUACUUUGAGAAUAUUUUCAUUACCUAAGCACUCUAUUCUGUUCAACUGGAGGUUUGUCAGAUGUAUAUGACUAAAACGUGUUUCAUUCUUGUUGUAAAAUUCACAGAUUGAUUCGGAUAUGGAAGAUCAUGCUUGAUUGCCAUCAUGCUUAGUGUGUAACAAAGAUUCAACCAUGUCCCGCAAAGAAUCGCAAAAGCAGGCUAUUAUUGCUCAACUUCAGCAUGAGAUUGAAUUCUUUGGGUCAAGCUUCAAAGAUUGGAAUGAUGCGCACAGAUCCUAUGUUGAAGCACUUGAUGGUUGGCAGCUGGUUGCGUCAAAUUACAAGACUACUAAACUUUGAGGAGUGGUGUAAUUAAUUUUGUUAAAAUCAUCUGUGAUGAGGUUGAGAUAUAUAUUUGUCAAAAUUAUGCUUUGUGGGAAUCACAUUCUUAUUACAAAUGAGUAGGCUCUUUGUUUUUUGUUUUUUUUUUAUAGACUCACCACAUAGAUCAAACAGGAAAUACCAGUAGCUCAUUAGAAAUUUGUAAAUCUUUUGAUAAAUAACAGCUGCUAAUUUCGUAUGUAUUAAGGCGUUUUUGCACAAUGCAUGGAUCUCUAUCUUUCGAUAUAUUAUGUCAGACUGAAUUUUCAGCUCAGAGACGCAUAGGCAGGCAAUUUUGAUAACAAAAUUAGCUUAUGUAUCCAUCCAAAAUUAGCUUGUUUGACCAGCUGGUUUACAAAGUGAAAAUUGUAUUUUGUAUUGGACACGCACUUGUACAUUUUUACUGUGUUGACUACCAAAGUGGAGUUGCAAGUUGCAACAUGUAUAAGCUCAUUUGGUUGUAGGUCUCGAUGAGUUUAUUGUUGAGUUGAUUAAUAUACUAAUCAACUAGUAUUUUACUUGAUUAAUAUACUAAUCAACUACAUAUAUAUAAAAAAAUAUAAUUUUUUUAAUUAAUUAAUGUACUAAUCAACUAGUGUUUUAGUUGAUUAAUACUAUACUAAUCAAGUAAACCGAAAAGAAAAUAUAAUUUUUUAUUAAUAUAAUAAUCAAGUAUUGUUGAGUUGAUUAAUUUACUAAUCAACUAUACUAUAAAGAAAAUAUAAAUUUCUUAGUCGAUUGAUUAAUAUGAUAAUCAACUAUUUGUUUGAGUGUUAUUGUUUGAGUUGAUUAAUUUAUUAUUAAUUAACUUUUAUUUGAGUUCGUUAAUUUAAUAAUCAACUAUUGUUGAGUUGAUUAAUAUACUAAUCAACUAUGUAUUGUUUUAGUGUUGAUUAAUAUACUAAUCAACUAAACUAUUAUAAAACUUGGUUACUAACACACGUGCACAAUAACAAACAAAACACUUGAUUAAUAUUAUGAUCAACUUCUUAAUUAUCAUGUUAAAUAAAGAAAUUUUAAACAAUGGAUACACAUGUUUAGCAAUAUAAUUCAAAAAUGUUGAACUUGUAAAUCAAUAGUUCGAUUCAUGGGUUAAUUAUCUUGCUAAUCUACUACCAAAAAAAUACUUGAUAUCCAACACAAAUAAAUUGUAACACUGAACAUGUGUACCAAUUAACAAAGGGUAAUAUCCCCAAAAAACUCCAUGUUUAGGUGCCUCUUCCCCAAUAGGCCCUGACAUGGGGUCAUCUUCUCAAACAAGCCCUUUGACUAGAUCAUAUUUUUCAGUAGGUCAAAAUUACCCUUGUAUUCUAUCUUCUAAUCUCAACCUUUUAUCUUCUAAAACCAGGAUAAGACAAAAAACAGAAAAGGACAAAAAAACAGUUGGUGUAUAACUUUUUGGUUUUAACAUUUGAAAAUAUUAUAAGUUGUGUUUUAGAAAUCGAAAAUCAACAUAGUUUAUAUGGUUGGAAAGGUCUCGACGAGAUCUUUCAAACUAGAUCCCACAUGACUAUAAAAUUUUAAAUUUAAAAAUUUAAUUUUUUUAUAAAAAUUUAAAUAUUUAUAAAAAAUUCAAAAUUUCAUAUUUUUUUUUUACUGAGAAGUUGGGUUUCGAGAAAAAACUCCUUAUGAUUUCAAAGGCUUUUCAAAAUUACUCUAAAAAUUUAAAAAAAUCACACAUUACUAUCAAAUUCAGGAGUUUUUAUUUUUGUCCUCUAACAUAUAUCUUCUUGUCUUCUAACACCAAAGAAAUAUCCUCUAAAUUGUUGUUUGUUGUUAUGUAAAUUACAAAGGCAUGAUAUCCAUUCCAUAUUAUUAAUAUAUGUGAAUUAUAGUCUGUAAUUUGAUGCAUGAGUUCGAUGUCUCAAUUGAGGACAAAAUCCUUAUAGUACAGAAAAAAAAAAGAAAAAAAAAUUGUAUUGCUAUGAAAAGUUCAUAAAAAUGUUUAAUGUAUAGUUAACUUCACAAAAAACUUCAUAAAAGAACAUAACCCAGGGUGUGUUUGAUUGGUGGGAAUAACUACUUGUGGGAAUUUUUAUAGUUGAAAAUAUUCCCACAUAAAAUAAUUCCCACUAAUGGGUCGUUUGAUUGGACAUAAAAACACAAGGAAAAUUUUAUGUGGGAAAGAUUUUAGUUAUUUGAUUAGACAUAAAAACAUGAGGAAAAUUUUAUGUGGGAAAGAUUUUAGUUGUUUGAUUAGACAAAAAAAUAUUCCCUUAUAAGUUUGGGAGUUUUUUUUAGGGGUGGGUCAAGGAAAGAUUCAUGAGAAAUAUUUUUAUCAUGGAAUUUUUACAUGACCCAACUUUACCAAUCAAACAGGCAUCUAGGAAUUUUUGGGGUAAUGUUUGAUGUGGGAAUUUUUCCCACGACCAAUCAAACAGACCCCCAGUCUAUAUAUUGUUUUUUAGGUUACAUCUCAAACCAUAAGAAAAAAGAAAAAGAACAUAAUCCAGACUAAACAUAAAUUCCUCCUUUUGCAUGGUGUAAUGUCAAUAAGCUCGUUAAAUUUGUACUCCAUUCUCCCUUCUUAUGCCUCACACCAAAACAAUAUAAUAGCUCAAAUCUCUAAUCAUUAUUUUAUUUUAUUUUUUGGCAAACGGGGUUGAGGGCACCCCUUACCCCUUUAAAUUACAUGAGGAAACUUAUAUCAAACAAUCAGUUUACUAGCAUGUUUUGAACCAACGAUCUCUCCACUUUGUGAGAUGGAUGCAACCAUUGAGCCACAGACUCGAGUGCUCUCUAACCAUCAUUGAAACUAAUAGUCUCUCUUUAUUUAAACACUCAUGUCUUCUUGUUUUCAACAAAAUCCAAGUAAUACAUAUAAAACCAUGACCAAUAUACUUUGAUAACUAGCUUUAAUCCACCUUUCAAAACUUUUCAAUAUAUAAUAUAAUUUAAUAAAGAUACUUUAGCAUUAAGGGGUGACAUUAGCUUUAGGGAUUUGUUGACCAGGUGGGCAUAUAUAUGCUCUACAGGAACAGUGGUAACUCAGUUGUAUUGGACAUUUGGGGAUGUUUGUGCCCCCCUGUUUCUUUCUUUUCUCUUCUCUGUCUUUGAGUGGCCUGUUAUGCUCAGGAGUUAGGUGUAGAGAGUUGUUUUGGUUUUUUACCUGACGGUGUACAGUCUUUGUACAUGCUGAUCAGGCGAUGUAUAUCCUACCUUUGGGUGUGAAUAUAAUGUUGUUUGAUUCAGAAAGAGAAGAAGAGACAUACUUUUUAUCAAAAAAAAUAUUGUAAUUUAAUAAAUUUGCAUGUUAAGUUGAUACAAUAGCUUGUUUAGAGGAUAAAGGUAUAUUGUUUAGAGAACAACAAUCAAUGUUUUAGCGGAUAAGAUCCUUACAGUAUAUAGAGAGAAAAUUAUCGAAAAAAUAAAAAACACAUUUUUUUUUUCUUUUUUUUUCAUACCCAUGUGGGAUCUUGUUAAAUAGAUCUCGUCGAGAUCUUUUCAACCAUAUACAUCAUAUUGAUUUUUACUUUCUUAAUUAAAAGAUAUACAAGUUAUAAAUAAUAUAACAAAAAAUAUUAAUUAAUAUUAAAAAAUUUGUUUUUGUCUUUUCUUAUUUGUCUUAUUCUGGUUUUUUUCUUUUGUUUUUAGUAUGAAGGGUAUAAUGGUCUCACAAAAAUUGCUAAAAGGUAAUGUGGUGGGUCAGGGGGCUUGUUUGAGAAAAUAGCCCCAUGUCAGGGCCUAUUGGGGAAGAGGCACCUAAACAUGGGGCUUUUUGGGGAUAUAACAAUAGCAAGAGGUUUAUUCGAAUCGAAAUUGAACCCAUAAAUUCGAAAAAAUUCUUAUUACAACUUCUUCUUCAAUUGAACAUCAUUAUUUUCAACCAAAAUCCUAAAUUAUAUCUAAAGGUGUCAUUAUUUUCUUCUUCAUAAGUUCUUCUUCACUACUUUUUUUUUUCAACUCUCUUGUUCUUCUGCUCAAAAUUUAUGUUAUUAGAUCUAAGAUUUAUUGGUUUAAAGAGAUUGGUGUUGUGCGCAGCGGAAGCUUAUGCACCAAUACCCAAGAUUGAAAUAGUGUAUGAAAGAUGACAAAGCAAGUAGUAAAGAAGUAAAUCUACUUAGCAACAACAAAUAAUAGAGAGAGACACCAAAAUAACGUGGUUCAGCUUGAUUGCCUACGUCCACGGACAAACAAAUAGAACUUUUACUAUUGGAGAAGAUAGUACAAAGCUCUCAAACAAAUGGAGAAACCCUAGGUUUCCUCCUUUCUCAAAUCCUCACCAAAUCUCUCAAAGAGACAAUCACAAAUUGAGGAUACAAACUCUCUCUCUUGGAUGGAGACGAUUAUACAAGCCCUCACGAAGAAACCAAAGUGUUCUUCCUCACAAAAGUUCUCUCAAACUUGCCAAUGGCUUCUCACAAUCUCUCUCACAUCCCAAUUAGGUUUUCCAACCUCUCAUUGGCUUUAUAACAGAGCCUUACAAUCAAACACGAAAUGGGCUUAAACAGGCCCAUAUGCACAAAAUCAAGGGAGGACGUACGUACGUCAUAUUGACGUUCGUACGUUCAGCUUCAAAACAAACAUCUGUGAUAUGGGACGUACGUACAUCUGUGAUAUGGGACGUACGUACGCCCUAACUACGUACGUACGUUCCCAGACAAAAAAAAAACUUCCCACCGUCCAAAGAAACCCAACAAUUGGAAAGAGAUCAAACAUAGAUCGAGUGAAAUCAAAGGUAAAAGAAAGUUGUUUGGUUGAAAGGGAGAGAUUUCAACAACCAAAUCACUACUGAGGAGGUUAAGGAGAUUUGUAUUGAUUUUGGGGGUGCCAUCAAUUUGUUGAAGAAAUGAUGAUAGUUUGGAAAAGUAUUGAUGGCGCGAAAAGUUGCAUCAAGAGGAGUGAUGAAUGUGUUAUUGCUGAUUGUGAUUGCUCGAAGACUAUGAAAAUUCUUGCAGCGGAGAAAAGUUCGAGUUGGAAGUGAAUGAAGUUCAAGAUCAGAGGAGGAGAGGAGUGUGAUGUGGAAGGCAGGAAUGAGAUCGGAGAAGAAGAACAACUAAGCGAGACAGAAGGAGAUCUUAGAAGAAGAGAGAGACUCAUCGGGGAAGAAAAAAUAAUUGCAUUGUGUUUGUUGAUGAGUUCGGAGGGUAUUUUCGUUAAUGUACAAGAUUGGCCUAAGGCCUAACUAAACGUUUACUUUGUCCUUGGACCUAAUGAAACUAUAAAUCUUGUCCUUAGGCCCAAAAUGCUGUUUUUUUUUUUUAAUUUUUCCCUUUUCUCUCAGAAAUUGGAUCUCGCUCUGUUUCUCCUUGUUUAGGGUUUCUCGACAGUUUUCUAGGGUUUAACCUAGUAACAAGUGAUAACUACUUUCUUUCUCUCUCUCUCUCUCUUCUUCUUCUUCGUUCGUUCUGUUUCUCUGGUUCGUUUCACAAUCGAAUCGAACCAUGGGAGUUCCAGCGUUCUAUAGAUGGUUAGCAGAUAAGUAUCCAAUGGUUGUUGUUGAUGUAAUUGAAGAAGAAGCUGUUGAGAUUGAUGGAAUUUCAAUUCCAGUUGAUACAAGUAAACCUAAUCCAAAUAAAAUUGAAUACGAUAAUCUUUAUCUUGAUAUGAAUGGAAUCAUUCAUCCUUGUUUUCAUCCCGAAGACCGCGUAAGUCUUUUCUUUCUUUCUUUCUCUCUCAAUUUCUUUUUCUUUAAACUACAUGAAUUUUAAGUUAAUUUGCUUUAAUUGAUUUCUUUUUCAGCCUUCUCCAACUACUUUUGAUGAGGUGUUUCAGUGUAUGUUUGAUUAUAUUGAUAGAUUAUUUGUGAUGGUUCGACCUCGAAAGCUUCUGUUUAUGGCUAUUGGUAAUUAAUUAAUUUGAAUACUGAUUACUUAUUACUUAAAAAGGUAAUAUUUGAAAAUAGUUUUAAUUGAAAAAAGUGAUUGGAAAUUAUUGUAGAUGGUGUUGCUCCAAGGGCUAAAAUGAACCAGCAACGUUCUAGACGAUUCAGAGCAGCUAAAGACGCUGCUGAAGCGGUAUGUGGUUUAUUCUCUUUUGAUUUUUAGUUUCAGCUCUACUUUCAAAAUGAUAUGUAAAAAUUAAGAUUGAUACGUAAUGUACACCAACCUUUUCGACUUGACUGUGUUCAAUGUUCAAAAAAUGGUGCAGAGUAAAUUUAUUUUCUGAAUUUGGAAAACAAUGUUCUUUGCUGUUUGUUACUGAAAGGAAAUGAAUAAUAUUGAGAUAAAUUAAGUGUUAAACAGAAGGGGUAAAACACAAAUAGUAUUAUAUUGGAAAUUUUAUUUAUUAUCAUUAUUAUCUAAGUGUUUUAAAGCAUUAUGUACUGUGUUCUGCCUUGUUCCAUCAGUAGACUUGCCAAAUGCAUCAAUCAAUAUGAAGUUCUUCAGAGUAUUUGGUAUUGGUAUUUAUAAACAGUUGGAAAAUGAUGAUGCACGUAUUCAAGUAUCUAUGUAGUGUUUUAGGUCCGAGUUGCUCUCUUUUGGAUCUGAAGUGAGAAUCAAGAGGGGUCAUUACCUUUAUUCAUGAAAGGACAAUAAUGGAUAGUGUGCCUUUGAAGUUUGAACCCUUCAAAUCAAGGAUAAGAAUCCCCCCUCUUAUUUGGUUGGAAUGCCAUGUAACAGAAAUAGUUCUUGACAGCGCCGAAAAAAUUGUAUUCAUUUAGGAUGUUAAGUCGCGAAUAUAACAGCAUGGAUGUGAGUCAUGAAAUUUUACAUUAAAUCAAACUCUCUACGAUUUCAUAUUAAAUUCUUCUCCAUUUAUGGUUAUAUUGAAAGGAACUUCUGCAAUUGUUCUUUUGUCCACUUAUAAGUGGUUUUGAACUGUGAAUAUUCCGUGUGCAGGCAGCAGAAGAAGAUAGGUUGCGAGAAGAGUUUGAGAAUGAGGGAAGAAAGCUUCCUCCAAAACAGGAUUCACAAGUUUGCGAUUCUAAUGUAAUAACUCCUGGAACUGAAUUUAUGGCUGUAUUGUCUAUUGCGUUGCAAUACUACAUUCAUCUCAGAUUAAAUAAUGACCCUGGGUGGAGAUCCAUUAAGGUAAUCUUCUUGCAGAGUUCUUGGAUUAGUCUAUUUUCUUUUUAUUGAGCUUAUUUCGUUAAUGCUUUUACCUUUCCUUCACAUCUGCAAUAAUUUUUAACUCGGUUCGUUUCGGUGUCCCUAAAUAAUAUAAUAAUUUCUUAGGUUAUCCUUUCUGAUGCAAAUGUUCCUGGGGAAGGGGAACACAAAAUCAUGUCAUACAUCCGUCUUCAGCGAAACCUUCCUGGUUUUGAUCCAAAUACACGUCAUUGCCUGUAUGGUUUGGUAUGUUAUUCUUUGAUUUUAGUUAUAUGAAUAUGUGAUUGCUUGCUUCCCAUUAAAUGCAUUUGCCCUUCAUUUGAUUGGACCUAAUUAUCUUCGUCAUCAAUUGUUUAUUACAGGAUGCAGACUUAAUCAUGUUAGGUUUGGCUACUCACGAAGUUCAUUUUUCAAUUUUAAGAGAGGUCAGUAUGCUCCCAAUGCUGUUGAUAUCUUCUAUUCCGUGUAGUUAAUUGGACUUGGAAUAUUUUCUUAACGUUGGAGGUUUAAUGGUGUUCAUUGGUAAAACUACUGGAACAGUACAAAGCUUUCUCCUUUAAAGAAGCGGUGUUGAAGCUUUUUCUUGAUGCAUUUUCGUGGAGUUUGUUUAGUAUAAAGAAUUAUAAGUUUAGCGGAAGUACUUGUAGUGUCAAGUCCACUUCUUGGGGGUGUUCUAUAUGUGUUGAAGUACUUGUUAUGUUAACUCCACUAUUUGGGUGUGCUCUAUUAGAUCCUCUUGUGAGAGAGGUUUAUGCUCCAAGGACUUCAUACUUGGGGUGGCGAUUCUUCCCAUGAUGGCUUGCAUUGUGAAUUCUCCCUUCACACUGUCUACAACUCUACUAAUUGGAUUAUUUGUCUCUGACUAAUAACAUAUAGGAAUUUGAUCAUUAAAAUCUGUUAGAUGGUAUGUUGUUAUAAAUGUCUGCAAUGAACAUCAAAUAAAUGCUAUGCGGUAUUUUGUUUUUAAACACAGAGAAUAUUUCUCAGGUGUUGUAGAUAUUGACAUAUUGAUAUGUUUAGUAUCGGAGCUUUAGCUGGAUACCAGUUUGGUGUUGGCAUAUUUUAUUUUGCCACCACCAGGUUUCGCUUUUUAGUUUCGUUAGUGAGUAUCUGUAAGGUGGCUGAUAUUUUCUGCACAUAUAAUGAUACCUUGGCACCUUGCAGGUUGUUUUUACUGCUCAACAAGACAAAUGCUUUCUAUGUGGCCAAGUAGGCCACUUAGCUGCAAAUUGUGAAGGAAAAGCAAAAAGAAAGUUUGGCCAGUUUGAUGAGAAAGCUGAAGGUGCUCCUUUGGAGAGAAAGCCUUAUCAGGUUGGUCGUAAUCCCUACCUAGCUUGGAAGACUCCGUAUAAGUGUUAUUUUAAUGUUUGUUUUCUAUCGAAUGGUUGGCCUCUGGCUUAUCUAACUUCUAAAUGAUUUGCAGUUUUUGAACAUUUGGACACUACGAGAGUACUUGGAAUAUGAGAUGAGAAUUCCUAAUGUUCCCUUCGAGAUUGAUUUUGAACGAAUCGUAGACGAUUUCAUCUUUAUGUGUUUCUUUGUUGGUAAUGAUUUUUUGCCACAUAUGCCAACACUCGAAAUUAGAGAGGUUUGUCACAAACUUGCAAUUUUUCUUAUUUAUGACCUUAUGACUUUUCAGUGGAUUUGACUUAUCAUUUGAUGAAAUUUAUUGGAUGACUAUUUCUUACAGAAAUAUUGAUGAUGGGAUAUUAUGUUAUAUAAUAAAGGGGGAUUUAGAGAUACCCCCCAAAAUAAUAGGAACUCUCUGAGAUAUCCCCCAGAUUUAGAAACUCUUAGAGAUACCCCCCAUUUUUCCAUUUGAAGCCGGUCAACCAAGCCGUUGACCAUGGUCUGACCAGUCUUCAUAAUUUUUAGACAAUUUUACCCUCCCACCAUUUAAACCCACAUCCUAGUCAUUUUGCCCAGUCAUCAAUAAUGCCAUGUCAGCAAACAAAACUUUCAUUAGAGAUACCCCCCAAAAUACAAGUUUCAUUUGAGAUACCCCCAAAUUGCAGAGAAAGGUAAUUUGGGGAAGAUGAUGAAAGAUGAUGAACCAAAUCUCAAAAAAUACUAAAAUACACAGUACAAAACCACUAAAUACUAUAAUUUACCUUCAUAUCAACGUUUCAACUAGGUAGAUCUAGUAAAACUACUAAAAAUUGAAGUAUUUAUUGGUUCUUUUAGAUCGAGUAAUGGAGUGUCAUUCUUUCACCAGAUCUAGUAAUGGAGUAAUAAAUGAGAGAUGAUAAUGGCUAGAUCUGUUAAUGAAGAAGGAAGAAAAAUGAAGGUGAAAGAAGAAUGGUUUGAUGAAGAAGAAGCAAGAUAGAUAGGUAGAUAGGAUGGAGAAGAAGGAAGAAAGAAAAGAAAUGAUGGUGAAGAAGAAAAAGUGAGAUGGAGUUUGAUGAUGGUGAAGAAGAAAAGAGGAGGAAGAAGAAGGAGGAGGAAGAAGAAGGUGGAGUUUGAUGAUGUAACGGUAGAUAGGAUUAGAUAUAGAUCUAGAUCUAUUUUGAACGGUUAGGAUAAGAAGUGGUAGUUGUAAGUGGGUUUGCUGACAUGGCAUUAUUGAUGACUGGGCAAAAUGACUAGGAUGUGGGUUUAAAUGGUGGGAGGGUAAAAUUGUCUAAAAAUUAUGAAGACUGGUCAGACCAUGGUCAACGGCUUGGUUGACCAGCUUCAAAUGAAAAAAUGGGGGGUAUCUCUAAGAGUUUCUAAAUCUGGGGGGUAUCUCAAAGAGUUCCUAUUAUUUUGGGGGGUAUCUCUAAAUCCCCCUAUAAUAAAACAAAUUGUCAAAAGAACAAGUCUACAUAAUUUUAAGCUUUAAGCACUUCAGAUUUUUUUUUUUUCUUAAAAUUAAAAAUGAUAACUUAAUUAAGAGAGAUAUAUAUAGGAGGAGCAUUGUCAGGGGUCAAGAGUUGCUAAAGAAAGAAACUAAGUAGAUUGUGGGAGAUGGGAAACCAAGAAAGUUCUGGAAAAAGUAGAAUUACCAACUUUUACACGAAUUUUCAAGUUGAUGAGAUUGGUUGAGUGGUCUCAGUUGGAGAUGGGAUUGUGGGUGUUUCAUGGCAAGACUACCUAUGAUGCAAGGAAUAAUGGACUUAUGGACUUACAUCAUGAUACUAUUGCAGGGGUGAUGAGUAGGGUUCUGAGAUUUGAUGGCCCAACAAUUGCCCUAUCCAGACCACUGCACAAAUACAACGUUAUAGAUUACAUCAGUGGAAUCUCAAAGUUAUAGACUUGAGGCUUCUCCAGAAAUCAUCAAAUAUAAUAAUUCUCAUGGUAGGAAGGAAGAUUACCCUAUCCUAACUGUAGCCUUAACCGAGUUGAGAACUUGAUCAUGCUUCUGCCAUGUAAUAGGACCUUCUAGCCAAAAGCAGGUAUCAUGUUAUAAAUCUACGGAAUCUGUGAAGGAAAAAGUGGUAAUAAGAGCAUUCCUCUAGAAAUCUAGGUAGUCAAAAGCACCAUCCUGGCACCGAAGGCGCAGAGCCUGCAUGCCUUAUGUGUUACCUCGCCUCGCCUUGCCUUGCAUGACAUCAUCUCCUGUGUGAUACCUUGCUAUAUGUAGAGGUUAUAUCCUUCAUAGUUAGGUUGUGAAUGAUUAGUAAAAGUGUAUUCACAGAAUGUUAUUGUUCGACUUAGUUUCAUCUUCAGUUUCUCGUGUUUCAAAAUUUUCCAGUCUUUCAAAACUUCUGAUUUGUUAUAGGAAAAGAAAAUAGUUAAAAUUUUUCAUUUUCUGAAAUUUAUACUUGACAAACUGGUCUCUUUGAAAGGCCUAGAUUUUCAGGUAUUAAUAUUAUUAUAUAAUGAUUUGCGGAAGGGUGCGCCAAUAGCUAAUCGACUAGUUUGACAUGAGUAAUAAAUAAUAAUUGGACCUUGGACCAGUUAUCUAUGAUCAAAUUAUGGCAGUUUGAAAUAUUAUUAUUGUUUCUGGAGAGAAUUAUUAUUAUCAAGGUAGUGCAUAAGUUAUUUCACUGCCACACCUACAAUCCCUCUCUAGCAUAAACAUGCUGCUCUCGCCUCAUUUUUUGUUUGGCCAAUCCAAUCCUCUGUAUGUGUGUUAUAACAGAAUGAUAUUAAUGAGGGGGUGAAAGAAUCGUACCCUCAUAAUUUAUCAGAGUUUACUCGAUGAAUUCCUAGCAAUCCUAGCAAUCCUGAAUUUUUUUUCUAUUCAUCUGUUCCAAGAAUCGAAGAUAUUAUAUUGUUGUAGAGAUUUAUGCACUUUAGUAUGUCCUGCCAUCUCUUGAAAUUUCCAAUUAAAGGGUAUAAUCUUUUGAGAUUUGAUCUAAAGUUAUCCUAUUAUGUUUUAUGUUUAGGGUGCUAUCAAUUUGUUAGUUGCUGUGUAUAAGAAAGAGUUUGCUGCAAUGGGUGGAUACUUGACUGAUUCAAGCAAGGUAAUUGAUUCUCAUAAUUGCAACUGACAGUAUACCUUUAUGAAUUUGAUUUUUGACGUAAUUGCUUGAAUCGUAGUUGCUAACAUGAUUUUGUUUUUCAAGCCAAACUUGAGCAGAGUUGAGCAUUUCAUCCAGGCAGUUGGUAGUUAUGAAGAUCGAAUUUUUCAGAAAAGAACUCGAUUACAUCAGGUUAGCUUGGACUCCUAGAUGGUUCCUGUUCAUUGCAGUAUUUGAUUUAAUGUGUAAGAUGAAUCCAAUUCGUAUUGUAUUAGAAGUUCUAUUAGAAGGUAAAAUAUUCAAAUGUAUCUUGGAUCAAGAUGGCCAUGAUAUCUGGAUUAUGACCAAUCUUAACAUCCUUUUCUAUUGAUAAUCUUGCUCCUCCAUUGCUCAAACCCUUCAUGAUAGGUGAGAAAUCGUUUCUCCUCCAGGAGCAGAAUUUUUUUAACAUCACUUUCUUUUUUCUGUGGAGUUGGUCCCUUUACAGAAACUUUUUUUCCUUUAUGUUUUUGUGAGCCACCUACAAAGGCCUUCUUUCGAUCUUAGUAACCUUUGCGUUGAGAAAACUAUACUUGUCCUUAAAAGUUAAAACAAUAAAUGUGUGUACUAGUCCAAAGAAAGUUGAAAUGGUUUAGCAACCCAGAUGAUCCGAGGACAAGAAAGGCCGAAAUCAAUUCUAUAUGCCUGUUGUUGGAUAUUUUCCUUAUAUUGAAAGCUAACUCUUUGCAAUAUUUUUCAGCGGCAAGCAGAAAGAAUCAAGCGAGAAAAAUCUCAGAAAAAAAGGGGGAGGGGAGAUGACAUUGAACCUCAGUUCAAACCAGAGUCUUUGGUUCCAGUUGCUGGUUACAGUGGUUCUCGUCUUGCUUCUGCUCCAUUACCGUCACCAUUUCAACCAAGCUUUAAAGUUAGGAAAGAAAAUGAGGUUGGAACAUCCAAGGGAGGAGGGUAUAAUACACCGGCCAAAAAAGUAGCACGUACUUCAGGGGCUUCAGUAGGUGCUGCUAUUGUUGAGGCCGAAAACAGUCUUGAAGAAGAAGUAUGCUUUCCUUAUCUUUUGUUAAUAUUAUUAUAUUAUUAUCAUCAAUAGUAAAACUAAAAGUAUUAUUACUACUUAAAGUUAGUAAGUUACUUGCUAUAUUAUCAUCUCUAUCUUGAGGAAAUUCUAGUUUCAGUUAGUCUUGCUUUAGCAACAUCUUUCAAUAACCUAUUAUUUCUAAAGAAAUUCAACUAAAAUAUAUGCAAAGGCAUACCCGGUUAAACUUGAUUUUUAUGUGAUACUUAUAAGUUGUCUUCCUUUGUUUUAGGCACGUGAGAACAAAGAGGAAAUGAAAACAAAGUUGAAGGAUUUGAUUCGCGAGAAGUCAGACCUCUUUAACUCAGAUAACCCAGAAGAAGACAAGGUUAGAAUUUUUUUGUUAGCAUGCUUAUUUCUCCACUUUUAUAUGGUACAGUAAUUGCAGUGACCCCAUCCUUGAAUCUUAAUUUCCCGUUUUAUUACCAUUCAAAUAUAAAAAAGUAAAAUAAAAUUUCAAAAAUAUUUUAUCUAUUUGCUGAGCAGAAUUUGUGUCCUCAGGUCAAAUUGGGAGAUCCUGGUUGGAAAGAAAGGUACUAUGAGGAGAAGUUCUCUGCGAAAUCUCUCGAUGAAAUUGAAGCAAUAAGAAAAGAUGUUGUAAGUAUAAUUCCUUUUUGGAAGCCUUCCUUGUAUUCUACUUGUUUUUUAUUUGCCCAUUUGGGCAUUUGCGUUCGUUUUUUAAAAACGGAAGUGUGUUGAAGUACUUUUUUUUUUUUGAGAGGUAAACGAGCAUAAUAUAUUCAUAUCAAAAAGUUGAUUACAAACAAAGCCAAGGGAUGAGAUAUCCCUGGUCAAGGAAACAAAAACAAAACACAGAAGAACAAACAACAAAAACUAUAAGAAACUCUACAUCAAGGGCCACUUAGAACAUUCUCCCAAGAGUAAGCAAAAGAAGCAUAAGGAAUCUCUCCAUAAUCAUGCCAUCUCUUGCACCAAAGGAAUAUGACUAUAUGAGUCCUUUGAUGUCAAGGAUGGUGCGAUCCAUAAGGAUGUUGAAGUACUAACUCAUGAUUAACAUGACAAGGAGUCCAAGACUAAGUCAAUAGUUCUUCUGUGUGACACUGACACCUCUGGAAACUCGAGUUAAAAUUUUUUAUUUUUUCUUUCAAAGAAAAAUAGGUUUUGGACCUGGCUGAUUUUAUUUUUCGGAGUCCCUUGCCUUUUCUCUUAAUUUAUUUAAUUAAUAAAUAAAACUUAUUAAGAAAAGAUGAAUAGUUUACAGAGAUGUAUGUAAAGAUCCAUAAUGAGGGAAGGUGUCAAACAAAAAAAUAUAACAGAAGAUGAUAACACUGCUACAAUGAAAAAUUCUAAACAUUGAAUUUCGUAUUGGUCAUAUAUUGACAUUCUUCCCUACAUCCAAGUUCUCAUGGAUGUGCCAAAUUGGAAGAAAUUGUGCAACAAACCUACAAUAUAGAACCAUGAGACGGUGGGGGACGGACUUUAGAAGAGGAAUCAGAGAGAGGAGCCAAGAAGUGUGAAAGAGAGAUCACAGAGAGAGGAGAUGAGAAGAAGAAGAUAGAAGAAAGAAGAGGGACGAACAGGAGAGCGAGAAGAAGGAGAAUUGGAGAAGAGAUUUUUUUUGUCUUUUUUUUUUGUGAAAGUGGACGGACAGACACUGUUUUUCUUCCCACCCGAAGUAUAAUGGACCUGACACUUGGUUUGGCUAUAUUGCCUCCUCCAGGGAAGACAAUAAUUGAGAUAUUAUUAUUGUACUAUAAGUUACUGAUACCCUGAAGUAGCUCAGCACUCUCCCUCAGUGGCUCAACAGUUAACACACAUUAAGUGCCGACUCCCUAAGUUGUAGAAGAGUCUCCUACAUUGCAAGGGGGCCAUUUGCCUUAUUUUGUUGGGUGCACUUGGAUGGAAAUAUUUAUUCAGGUGAUGAUUUUUUCUUCAUACUUGUAAGUCAAAAUCUCAUGACACGAGAAAGGGUUGUAACCCAUAAUUAUAUAAAUACUAUAUGAUGUCCAUUAUCGCUGCUUAACAUAUUUUCUUAACAAGAAAUUUUAGAGGGCUCAAACUUAUGCUAGCUAGGCUGUGAACAACUAAGGGGUAGAAGCAAUCCAAACCGCCUUAUACCCUCACAAUAGAAAUGCUUAACAAAAUGAAAAAUGAUGCCCAUAGGAAAUGAAGCCACCCAUCUUUUUUUUAUUUCUUUGGCCCAUCUUCUUUGAUCUCCGCUACUGCCACCAACACCGUCCACAAUCCUCCAUGCCAUCCGAGGUACGGAUGCUGGGGCUGGGUGUGGGGCCGAUUGUCUGCUGACUGCUGGUGGCGGGUUGGUGACGAGUGGUGAUUGGUGGCAGUGGGCAUGUUGUUAAUGGAGUUACAGUAAGAGUUUGGAAGAAAGCAGAGGAAAUUAGAAAGUUAGAUAGGUAAUGGAAGUGGAGUUUUUUAUAUGAAUAUAUUAUGCUUGUUUACCUCUCAAGAAAAAUAAAAAAGGUGGAGUUUUGGCAAUUACUUAGUAUGGAGCCAUGGAGGUGGUGGUCUUUAAAAGGAUAAGGAAUGUUGGUGGCACGUCAUUUGUUUUAUGUGCUUGCCUCCAAGUUUUUCUUCUUCCUUUUUGUUUCUUCCCUUGUCCUUGUCUUUUUUUAUUUAUUUUUAUUUUUUAUAAUAUGUAAUCUGUAGAAGUAAUUUAUCACGAAGGAUUGAUGAUGAUGCUGUCGUCUAUGUCAAUAAACCCUUAUAAUAGAAAGGUGCUACUGUGCUAGCAUGCAAUGUAGCUCCACCUAAUUUUGAACAUUUCUAUGUUCUCUUAAUUUUUUUUUUAUCAAAAUUCCAUGCCUAAUUACCCACAAAAGGAAUAAAACAAAAACCAUUAAAAUGACCUAACUGGAGUUAUAAAACUCAUGUGGUUUUAGAGCUUGUUCCAGAACUCUAUGUAGUUGCUAUUUGUUAUUGGGUUCCUUGGGUUAAUGGAAACUUCAUUUUCUUGUGGUAGGUUCUAAAAUACACGGAAGGCUUAUGUUGGGUUAUGCACUAUUAUUAUGAAGGUGUCUGCUCUUGGCAGUGGUAAGAUUGUUGUAAUGCUGCUAUUGUCAAUUAUGUUUGAUUGUUACUUUUCAGAGUUAUUGGAGGCUUCCACUCAGGAGUCAUCUUAGGGAAUUUAUUGAAAAAGUAUUUUUUUUUUUGUUGCCUUUGAAAGUAAUUAUGUCUUUAUGACUUUAUUAUCUUGUGCACUCACUACACGACUGCUUGUUUCCCAAAUAUCCCUGUUAUACCAGGUAACUACAUUAUAUACUGCUACAGUGCUACAUAUGUAACGUAGUCUCUUUUCAACCAUUUAUUUUGAGUUCAUUUGCCACUAUGACAACCUCGUGAACAUCAUAUCCAGUUGGUUUCUGUUUCAUAUUUUCAUUGCUGUGUGUUUUUGUGUUUCAAUGGUGCAUUCUUGAAGUGGCUUUUGUCAUUUUGAAUAUUAGAUGAAGUCUUUUUUGUUCCGUUUGACAAAUUGCUCUGUUUCAACCUUAUACUUUGACCAAAUAAUGAUUUGUCCGCUAAUGCUUUUAGGCUUUUAGCCAUUUGCUAGAUGACUUGUUCAUCUGCUGCUUCGUUUUAAUGAAAGUUACACCACCUCACCAAGUGUAAACCUGAUCAGGCCGGAAGCAACUGAAUGUCUGGUCCAAUUUAUGUUUAGAAGCCUACCAUUAACGUUUCAAACUUUCAAUUAGAAGAAAAUGCUAAACAGUGGAAGUUCAUGGACGAGAAUGGGAAACUUAGAUGUGGAUUCAGUUUGUUUCUGUUGAUACUGGUAGUCAUGAUUACUUGUAGGAUUUGGGCAUGGGGGCUCAUAUGGGUGGGGUAUCAGGUUUAGUUUCUUGCUGAUAUUGUUUUAUCCAAUUUUCUUUGAUGUAAUGGUUGCCCUUUAUAUCUUAAAAUAUUUUUUAUUUAUCAAAAAAAAAAAAAAAAAAAAAAAAAAGAAGAAAAAGAAGGAUAACAUCAAAAGGAAACACCCAAUGCAGUACAUGAAAUUGAAUAUAAUUCAAUACGAAAGUACAUUGAAGAAAGAUUACUUAUCCAAGGAGACCUUUAAAGUAGCUCAUAGAUAAUAUAUUAGUAUAUGAUGUGCACCAAUCUACUUGGCGUAUAACCCCUUUACAUAUGUUUAUCUUGCUGAUUUUUCUUUUUUCUUGUUUGUUAUUCCAGGUUUUACCCCUAUCAUUAUGCACCCUUUGCUUCUGAUAUCAAGGAUCUUGAUCAGUUGGAGAUAAAAUUUGAACUUGGCUCCCCGUUCAAACCAUUCGAUCAGUUGAUGGGUGUUUUUCCGGCUGCAAGGUUGCGUUAGUUGUAUGUUGUAAAUGAUGUUGUAUUACAUAGCAUAAGUACUGAUUAUUAAAUUUUCCACAGUUCCCAUGCUCUACCUGAACAUUAUAGGGAGUUGAUGUCCAGUCCUACCUCUCCUAUUGUUGACUUCUAUCCCACUGGUAUACUCCAUAGUUUACAAUAUUUGUUUCUCUCCAAUAGUGUGUACACAUGUUUUUGACUUUCUUAAAUGUCUUUAUCAGAUUUUGAAGUUGACAUGAAUGGCAAGCGCUUUGCUUGGCAGGUUGGAUUUUACUUAUCCUUUGCAAAAAUCUGUCAUUUGACUUAUAUUAUGUGGAUCUGAGCUCUGGCCUGAUUUCCUAAAUUUAUUUCUUCUUUAUGUUGAAGGGUAUUGCAAAAUUGCCCUUCAUUGAUGAAGGCCGUCUUCUUAAGGAGAUCAGAAAAGUUGAACAUACUUUAACGGUAUGGUACCUAAAACAAAGUCUUACUUCCUUUACUAAUUGCCGUGGAAAUUUGUUUUCAUUAGUGUUGAAAUAAUAUUUUAUCAUGCUUUUGUUUAGGAGGAAGAAGCACGAAGGAAUAGUGUUAUGCUUGACAUGCUUUUCGUGACAGUGUCUCACCCCCUUUCCCCCUACAUUUUUUCCCUAGAUGACCGUUGUAAACAGUUGUCAGACAAAGAACGUGCUGGAAUCAAAGAAAGAAUUGACCCUAAGGCCAGGUUGGUUAGCACUCGACCAUAGUUUUUUCUUUUUAGCCGUGUUAUACUGACAUGUUAUCAGUUAGUUCUGGUGAUUCUUGGCCAGUAUAGCAUCUUUUUUGUAUUUAUGGUUACUCCAUGUUCUUUCUUGGUCGGCCAAACAAGAAAAUGGUAGGACUCAAUUAAUGUGAUUGAGAAAAUUCACAUUACAAACCAAGCGGUGACAAGAACUUAAGAUGAAAUUCUAAUAUCUGUCCCAGACAUGAACCGUCUAAAGCCUAUUCGAAUAAGCCCAUUCCCACAUAGGAGAAAAGGCAUUAGCAUCUCAUAUCUUCAUGAGGGACUCAUGGUGUGUGGCUUGACAAGCGAAGCUCACUAAAUAAUGUCCUAUACAAGCUUAGGAUCUGUAUUACAUAGGUACGGCAAUUUUGUGGCGAAUCACGAAUCGAUAUUGGAUAUGUGUAGACACGGAUCCGGAGUCAGAUUUGCUAUGGAUUCGCCCACUAACAAACAAAAAAUCCCAACUUUAUUGUGUCCAGGGUAUCCUCGCUUCUGUAAAACAUGUUCUAGGGUGAUGUAGGACAUGUUAGGAGUUACUAUUUUAAUUCUAAGUAUGAAAUAGAUUCUAGAAUAUAUUGUUUUAGGUCUAAGUAUAUUAUAUUAGGAAUCAUUAUGUUUUUAGAAGUCGUUUUAAUUUAGAAGUCCUUUACUUGUUAAACAAGCUUCUUGCUCUAUAAAAGAAGCUCUAGGUUAUUGUAAUAGUUAGAGGUUGAUUAUUAUUGAAUUGAAUAGAAGAAUUGCUUCUUGAGUUAUCCUUGUUUUCUUGCUAGAUUAUUCAUCUUUUCCUUCUUUUUACUUGGUGGAUUCCAAGCUUCACGUUCGUCUAGGUUCCUAACCCUAUCUUCUCAUCUUCUUUGAGAGAUUCUUAUCUCGAUCUUCUAAGUUCUACAUUAAGUGGUAUCAGAGCCUCACUUUCUAGAUCCUUAUCUAGAAAGCGGUCCGUCGUCACCUUCCAUUCAAGCAGUUUUCGUCCAUCCAGAUUCAGGAAAUUCGUCAUCUUUGCAGGCUUGUCCAAGACAGAAUACUUUGAACCAGUGUACGUGCUAUAGCUUGUUGGAAAGAUCUUUGAGUCUUCUUUCUAACCCAAUCGACGGUUCGCAAUUCAGAAUUCUGAGCAGGGAGAUACGGUCGUUCUACUACAGGGUGUCGAAUCAGAUUAUUUUUUCUGCAACAAUUUUUUUGUUCUCUCUUAACAUCCAAUGGCACCUAAUCAACAAGAUUUCGUUUCAAAGAAAGAUUUUGAUGCAGCGAUCAAUUCUCUUAAAGAAAAUCAAGCUACCAUGAAAACAGAGUUCAAAACUUCCCAUGAUUCGUUGAAAGAUUCCAUUGAUCAACUCACACGCCAAAUUUCUCAACUUCUCAAAGGUAAGGACAAGAUAGAUGAAAAUAUUCCGGUAUCUACAUCCAAUAUUCCAACCACCAACAUCCCUCUUCCCUCUACACCUAUGGUUCCCUCCACCAUCCAACCAAUUUCGUCUUUUUCUCAAGAGGAGAAUGUUGAUUUUAACCUAGCCGACUUCUUUAAAGAAGAGGAGUUUAUUGCAUGUUCUACCUUUCCUUCUUAUGAAGACCCUUUUGAGUAUUUUUGUUCGAUAUCCAUUAAUUACAAAGGGAAUGUUAAAGCUUUGUUUGGCGACACACACUUCAAAUUGAUAUGUUAUCCUUGGAUUUAUUUCCCUACUCGAAGCCAAAAGAAGGAUCAUGGAAGUAUUAUACUCUCGUCUUUAGGAAGUGACUCCCUUGUGAUUCCAAUGCAUAACUCGAGGGCGAGUUAUUUUAAAGAAGAGGAGACUGAUGUAGGACAUGUUAGGAGUUACUAUUUUAAUUCUAAGUAUGAAAUAGAUUCUAGAAUAUAUUGUUUUAGGUCUAAGUAUAUUAUAUUAGGAAUCAUUAUGUUUUUAGAAGUCGUUUUAAUUUAGAAGUCCUUUACUUGUUAAACAAGCUUCUUGCUCUAUAAAAGAAGCUCUAGGUUAUUGUAAUAGUUAGAGGUUGAUUAUUAUUGAAUUGAAUAGAAGAAUUGCUUCUUGAGUUAUCCUUGUUUUCUUGCUAGAUUAUUCAUCUUUUCCUUCUUUUUACUUGGUGGAUUCCAAGCUUCACGUUCGUCUAGGUUCCUAACCCUAUCUUCUCAUCUUCUUUGAGAGAUUCUUAUCUCUUUCUUCUAAGUUCUACAUUAGUUUUGUUGGUGCGAAGUUAGAGGCGAAAAUUUUCACUUAAACAAUCGUGAUCUUGAUGUACCGAUGACGAAUACCCUAAGAAAGCAAUAGCCCAUGUGUAAACCUGGCCAGUAAUAGAAGUAAGAACAAUGGGCUUUCAGAAAUGGGUCACAAAUUGUUGUUAAUAUGCAUAUGAAAUUGUUUCUAAGAAGGUUCAUCUUAAGGUGUAUUUUUAGUUUUUUACAUAAAAUUCAAAAUAUUGUUGUUACUAAUGCUUAAGGGUCAAAUAAUUAACAAUCUGAUAUUUUUUAUUGUCAUUAAUAUAUUAUAACUAAUAAAUCAGUUGAGUCCCCGAAUCUUUUUUGUAAUCACCGUGUUGGACGUUCGGUACCCAUGUCGGAUUCCGACACACAAAGAUAUACCCAUGCAACACAACUUAGGAUAAUUGCAUUCCCGAAAGAAUUGAUGAAUUGUGUCCUCCUAACACGUACCCGUAAUGCAUUGGUUUAGCAUAAUCUCUCUUCUCGUUUUUUGGUUGUCCAUGGUAAAAACUCUUCAACAAAGUACUCUAUUCCAGAAAGUGUAGCCCAAAUGAAGAAGAUAUUUCCUUGGCCCAAAUAUGCUUCCAAGACCAAUUAGGAUUUAGGAAGGGUUUAAAUUGGUGCCUUUUGCUUGACAAGCAUUUCAUGCAAGAAUAAGGAGUUUAGGUCAUUCUUUGUUACUGUGACCUUGAAUUCUCUCAGCUGCUUCUUCGUCAAGAAGCCUCACAUGUUCUAGUAAAGGGGACAUGUCCGGCCAUUUUUGUUAUGAAAGCCACGCCCUGUCUUCAACUCUUGAGGCACAAUGUCUAGCACCAUACAUAAAUCCCUUAUAAUUAUAAUUGACAACAGUAUGAAUAUACUAACAAAGUAACAAUUGCUAGCUAGGAACUUUAUAUUUGAAUUGCGCUUUGUUGUGAUUUGAGAUGUUUCAACAAAUUUCUGAUCGUAUAUAGGGUUACAUGCAGUGGUGGGAUGAAUGGUUAUAUAUCCCUUUGUAGUGGAGAUCCUUGCCCUCCCAUCUUCAGGUCAGCUGUCAUGGGGAUGGAAGACAUUAUGAACAAUCAAGUCAUGUGAGAAAUUUUGUUACCGAAGACAUUCUUCUGAUACUUCUGUCAACCAUGCAUAUGUAAGACUAAUGCCGUCUUUUCUUUCUUUUACAGAUGUGCUAUAUACAUCCUUCCUGACACACAUAAACAUAUCACUCGCCCUCCAGAAGGGGUCGUAAUCCCGAAAAAGGUAAAUCUGACCUUUUAUGAAGAUUUGAUAAUGAUGGAUUAGAUCAAUGCCCGGGCUUCCAACUCCAACUUGUCAGCCCAAAAGGGCAACAACCUACACAGUUAUCCAUAAAUAAAUGCUAAUAUAUGAGCACUUCAACGUCUGUUGAAUUCAAGUAAUAAAGCCUAAUCUAUAUUUCUGAAGAGACUACAGAUGACAAUAUAGAAAGACUAAAAUAUACUCACCCUAUCUAGACUAAAUUAUUUCUGAAAUUUAAAGGCGGAAAGAAAGUCACUGAAGAACGAAUUCAAAUAGUUUCAUGGAAGUAAUUUUAGCAUGGGCCCUUUAAAUUAUGGCUUAACGUUAAUAUUUAGAUGCUUUCAUCCCAUGGAUGCGAGUGAAAUCAUGUAUAAUUUUGGGGCUUGUUUCAGACUGUUAGCGUAGGAGAUUUGAAGCCACCACCUGCAUUGUGGCAUGAAGAUUCUUGGAAGAAGCCGUGGGAAAGGUACUGUUAUAUAAGAAGCACGCACACUUGUGGUCAACAGAUAUGGCAGUCUGUUAGGCAUUGAUGUGUUACUGUUUUUUCAUGAUCAACUUUUCUUUAUCUACAGGCAAAAUCAUGGAACACCGGGCGGUAGACAACUUAGUGGUAGACAACUUGGCGAGGAGGCGCAUCGACUUGUGACUAACAGCUUACAGUUGAAGACACAGCAUAACAGGGUGGAUCAGAUGCAUGUUCCACAAUCAUCAUAUGGUAGGGGUUUUCAUGGUGCUCAACCUUAUACAAAUGGCAGAACCUACAAUCAGGAGUUUCAAAGACCAAUGCCUCCUCAUAAUGAUAGAUUUGUAAAUCCCAAUGUCCGUGCUUACGAACCACCUCCACAUGUUAACCAUUCGUAUGUACGACCAUCUAAUACCCCAUAUGAAAGAAACACCUGGGCAGCAACCCAGAGUAGAGAUCCUCGCUUGCAUGGCUAUUCACCAGUUCCACAUCAGAAUGUGCAACUCCAAUAUCCUCCGCCACAAGUAGCACCAGUAGAAAUGACAGCUGGAGCUCAUGUUCAGCCGAGAGGUGGAUUCAAUAGCUAUGUGAAUCAGCAAGCAUAUGGGUCUAAUAGCCACCAUCGACGGGGAGGGCGUCAGGGGCCUGUAGCAAACCCCAGAGGAUUUUCCAGAGAUUAUAAUCACCAAAGACAUUCAGGUAAUCAGUACUCAAAUUUGGGUAGAGGUGCAAAUAGAGGUGCAAAUAGAGGGCCACGCCCUCCCCAUAGAUACAACCCUUGACAUGUUCUAUCGGCUAACCUAGUUUGUAGCCCUUGUAGUAGAGAAAAUUACCUGUGUUUAUUUUAAUUUUUUAUUUAUCUUUCAUGUACUUUAGUUGUAACUGAUUCUUUUUCUCUUCGGCAUAUUGCUUACAACUGAUGUAAUAAAACUUUUGAGAGCAAUGUAAAAUUCCAUUUCCGGCAACCUUUCUUUUCGAUUAUUUGUCAGAAUACUCUUGAGUAUGUGGUUUGAUGUUUGAUGCCAUUAUAUCUUUAAAGUUUAUAACUUAUCCAAACUGCCUGACUUUGGAUCUAAGUGCUAAGAAUGAUUUGUCGGUAGAAGCGAUUUCAGGUGUAUCUGUUUCUCUGUACUUAAGUAUCAGAGACUUUUAUUUUCAUAUGAUAUCAUACUAGCAAUAUGAUGAUACAAGUACUGGUUUUGUUAAAUAAUGGAGCAUAGUUUCUGUGUUUUUGAACCAUAAAUACAGAGAGUUUCCAUAAAUACAGAGAACUUUGAACCAGUGGAAGGAUUUCACCUUUCUUUUUUAGGGUUGAUGUCUCUUCAUAUUGCAUGUAUGGUGUACCUCCAUAGUUUCUUGUGAAGUAACCAACUCAGAAGUUAAUUGAACAAAGGUAUCUUGGUUGCAUGGAAUGGUAAGGCCACCCAUUGGAUAACUGAAUUUGUACUCUUCCUCGGCCUGAAUUAGCAAAUCUUGAAACGAAGGGUGUUUUAAGUACGACAAUGGAAGAACAUAUCUUUUUUUUAGCACCUCCCCAACAUAUACCGUGAAAUGACCUUUAGGAACAUUUUUGGUGGCUGGAACUGUUGCCCCUUCCGGUGCAGUCUGUUGGAGGGUUUGCUUGAUGCUGCAGGUGUGCCUGGGAAUAUUUAUUAUACUCAUCUUUUGGAAGAGAAGAGAACAAUAGACAUAAAUUGUGUCUUAACAGCAUGUCGAGAGGAAGUCAUUUUAUAUAAGCAGUGAUAAAAUGAAGAGUGUGCUGGAAUACAUAUUUCACAAAGGUUCACAACUUUACAUGGAUUUGCCUUCCAAUACUAAGAAUUUGUUUUGUGCAUAACUGAUUAGCUCUUGUGAUGUAAUCUUAAUUCCUAUAAGACUUGUUUUCUACGUGAAAGACUCCUUCUAGUGUCAAUAAUUCAUGUUUACUUUCUGAGCUAGCAUUGUGCUUAACCAGUUGGAGUAAUCCCAUAAAGAGAAUCUGACUCUCAACUAUAUUAAGCAACAAAUUUGUGGUACGUCUGUUCACAGAAAAGUGGUACUUUUGUAUGCCUAAGUAACUAAUUCACUCACUUUUUGGUAAGUAUAUUAUUCUUCUUUUUGAUGAAGAAUGAGACAAUGAGUACGGUUUGAAGUUUGGCUGUGUUAGGUGCUUGAUUCGUUGAAUAUAGCGUAUAUCCAUCCAAUGGUGGUGGAACUGUAGAGGCUCACAUCAAUCCAUUCUUGUUAUCUAAAUGUAUGGUGUGAGGUUUUUAAUCUUCUUAUAUCUAUUAAUCUAUAUCAUCAAAUUGAUAAGAAUUGAUUGCUUCAAAAGUAAGGUGAAAGAAACUCAUGAGUCAUCACAUAUACAAAUUAAAACCAUACAUACACACAUACUGCAAACUAAUACGUAUAUCAGCUUGUGGUGUUAAGUGUUCAGCACUUAAGAAAUCAACUUGAAUGUGAAUGCAAUUAUGUAAAGACUUCACCUAACAAGUCGCACUCCCAUCACCCACGCCACGUGAGUCAACUCAUAUCAUGAUAUGUAUCAAGCUAGAUCAUUUCAUUUCAUUUCAUGUGGUAGUACUACAAUAAUUGUACCUAAAUAUAUUGAAAAAGAAUCUAAAGACUUUAAAGGCCAUCUUUUAAUUUUUUUUUAUUUUUAAUGAUAAUUAGUACCUUGUAUUAAAACAAAAUAUGUAGUUCUGUACAGGGAUUGAGAAGGUGAGAGUAAGACAUGCCACUCACCUCAACUCAAAACAGCAAAACAGAGAAAAUACAAAAAGAGAUGUUGAAAGCUAUGGUGUUAGAAUGCAGUCCAACUACUAUAUGUCCCCCAACCCAAUGAGGUCCUGAAAGUUAUAAUCCUGUUACAAAUAUAUGUCCCCCAACCCAAUUCCAUAUGGUGCCUUUUAUCUUUGCGAUCGUGUGGUCUUUGUCCGCUUGAGUACCCCCUGAGCACUUUGUCUUCCAAGCGAUCCAGACGAUGACCACAUUUUCGACCCCAAUCCUCCUCCAUGGUGUGCUGGCCAUUUAGUGAGCAAUUGUUUAACAGUUUGGCUGCUCUGAACCAGCUCUGUGCAGUCAGUCAGAAAUGUCAUUAACAAGAGUGGCCCAAAUCUGCCAUUCUAACAAGACUUGGCAAUCUUUAAUAACUAAUCUAUAUAUCUAUAUAAUAGCUAGACCCAUGCGGUCCCACAUUCUCUCUUCUAGGUGGCAUUCUAAAUGAUCUCCAAGCUCUCACAAUUUUUCUAUUUAAAAAAAAAAAAAAAAAAAUUGGUUACUUUAAAACUAAUUUUUGUUUUUCUCUAUAUUUCUUAUCCAUUUUUCAUUAAACAAAUAACCUCUACACUUUUUAUCCACUCUCCCACUAAGCACAAACCUCUCAAAUCAAAAUAAAAACACAAUAAAAUAGUAAAAACAUGAAUUAAUCAAACAUAAAUAACACGGACAGUCUAAUGAAGCUUUUUCUCAUACCCCGGUGCGUAGCGCGGGUUCCCAGCUUGUUCCUAUAAGAUUUAUUAAUCUAAAUUGUAAAGGCUAUAGUCAUCGAUGACAAACAAAUGAGUCUGAUUGACUUCUCAAGACAAUACAUUAUUAUUGUGAUGUCCAUGCACCUACUGACAGUAUUCAUCCUUUGGAACAUCUCUACCAACCAAAGGGAAGAUUAUUUGUUUGUUAAUACGUAAUAAUAAUAGAAAGGAAGGGUGCAACAAAGUCUUUUGUAUGUAUAAUUGGGUUCUCACCUAAGUCAAUCUAGGUGAAUAGUUUAAUAACGCAAGUGUUGAGAUCAUGGGAGAGUUGAUGAUAUAUAAUUUGCAGAGAAAUAAUGAAAACGACAUUCUAUAAUAGUAUUCAUUAUUAGAAAUAGACAAACAACAAAAAUUUGCUAGCAGGUCCACACGACAUCUUCCCCGCGUCAUUUUGAUAUCAUAUCUUAGAUUUUUCUUCCCCACAGAUUCUUUUGGGGAGAAGGUAAGGUUUUCCUUCCUUCUAUUCCAUUAUGCUUUUGUGAAAGAAUGUAUGAAUGCAGUUCAGAAUUUAGAAACAUAUGCCAUUACAGGCACAGAUUGUUUUCAAAGUACUAAGACAAACAUCUUUCUUGCUAUAUCAUUCUAUCUCAAAAUGUGUCAAAGAAAUGGCUACAUUUUUACAUCUGGACACAGAUAAUUAUUUUACAUCCAUCAUAAAACCAUACUGGAAACUAAUUAUUGAUUAUUGAAUCGUGAUGUAUACUAUAUAGUACACACACAUUACAUUGUUAUGUGGGAUACUGGGAUGGCCUAUGAUUGUAAAUACAAGUAUGCAAUGGAUUUGCACAGACUCCUUACAAAGCUUAAUGUAGCAAUGAACAAGUAAUUCAUCGGCCUUAUAUAUUUACUAUUUACAUUGACUGGCACUAUUAACAAAGCUAUAGAAAAUAAUUAUUGUAGGUACCAUUUUACUCUGCAAGCCAGUCCAGAUUGAAGCACUCUUCAGCCACUUCUACCCGAAGAUCUGGUACCACCCUUUCAACUUCUUUCCACAACCAAGAAGCUUCUUCAUCGCAGAUGACACGGCUCAGUCGUCUCAAUGAUACAGCAGAAGCAGGUACACUACUGAUCUGUGAGCACUCCCUCAUAUCAAUCUUUUCUAGCAUGAUUAGUCCACCUAUUCGUUCAGGGAGACUUGUAAGGUUGACACACUGAGAGAUGUCAAGAUACUUCAAGUUCUCUAGACCACAUAGGCUCUGUGGAAGCUUUUCCAAAGCUGGGCAGGAACAAAACCUAAGGAUUUGUAGAGAUUUCAAUUGGCCUAGCUCAAUUGGUAAAUUUUGAAGAUCAUGACAGUUGGUAAUGCUUAGACUCCGAAGUGAGCUGAAACUGCAGACACUUGAUGGCAACUCAGUAAGAUUGGUACAGUGGUCCAUUGUGAGCUCCAAGAGGCGUGGAAGAAUCAGCGGCAUAUACAACAAUGAUCCGUCAGGCAUUUUGAUAAAUUCACAUAGGACUAGAGAGAUUUUGAGCAAGUUAGGCAUUGGGACUGUGAUAUCAGGUACCGACGGGAUAACUAUCUUUUCCAACCACAAGCUUCUCAGCUUACUCAUAGAGGAAAACACACCGAAGUUGUGAAGUACUGUGUUGGAAUUCCCAUAAUUGAUGAGAACUAGAGCCCUGAGGUUUGGCAUUCUAUCAAUGAAGGGAGGUAAGUAGUACUCAUUUGAGGAAAAGUUCAGGAUGAGAACUUCCGCCUUCGGGAAGUCCAUAGAGAACCAAUCCCAUUCCUUCAUUUCACCUGUGUUGCAUAAGAAGUGCAGCUCAAAGUGAGUAUGAAUUGCUGAAAGCAUCAUCACAAAUUACCUCAAGCACAAAAGUACAGAUGGACAAUGAAAAUAGCAAUGGGCAUUACCUGUAUGAAUUGAAACAAUCUGGGCUUGAAAUGGCUUAUCCAUGUUUCUUUCCCACUCCUUUGGAAGCCUCUCUUCUCUCCUUGGCAUAAGCAAUCUCCGCCGUUCAUUUAAAGCAACACGAUUGCUGUAAUGAAGAGCCAUGUCUCUCAGCACAUCAUGUUCAGUAAUAGAAAUUUCAAAGUAACUGCUAUAUGUGUCCCCAGCACUGCAAAAUAAAAUAAACGAAUGGUUAUACUUCAUUAUAGACAUGUCACAACAUUUGUGAUAACAUAGAAAUUUAUUCCAAAUUACACACCGUGGAUCUUUCACUAGAGUGAUGAGAUUUUUGUCUGAAAGUUCCACAAGUAUUGCAAAAGCUUCCUCUUCAUCGAGAUCAUGUAUCUCGACCCACAUGUUAACGAGUACAUCAAGAGGAAUCUUCUUGUCUUCCGGGAAGGAUGCCAAGUCUAAGAAACAUUCUUUAACUUUUGGAGGCAGGAACUCAAUGCUAAUCGCCAUGCGAUCAAGUAAUUUGGUAGCAUGAGACUCGCAUAUUGGUUCCCCUCGUGAUAAUCUGUUCUUAGCACUAGUCCAAAACAUCUGAGGUUGGUCUCUCAAUGAAGCUCCAAUAACCUUUAGCGCCAAAGGCAGCCCUUUACACUCCUUCACAACCUGUUAACACUUUCAUUAAGCAUUUGCAAACAAAGACUCUAAAGUAAUUAACAUGAAACAACUCAAACAAUGCACAUCUUCCAUUCCUACCUGCUCAACAAGAUUCCUAUCAGCAAAAAAUGGAAGUGAUUGUUGUCCAAAAGCAGAGUGACAAAAUAGAGACAUAGCUUCAUCUUCCCUCAGCAAUUCAACAUCAUAAGUCCAAUUAAACACUUUCGGAUAUUUGAAUCUUGAAACAACCAAAGUUUUACAACCUGGUAUAUUAAAAACUAGCUGUUCCAAAUCCGAAAGUGACCAAACAUCGUCCAAAAUCACCAAUGUUCUUCCUUGCAUUCCCCAAUCAGGUUGUAGCCAUUGUGGAACAAAAUAUGGAGAACCAACAAUGUCAUUACUCGCAAUCUGUGCCAUGAGUUUUUGUUUCAAAUAUUCUACGUCUGGGGAUUGCGAGACCGUCACAAAGAACACUCUAUUGUUAAAGUGACCUGUAUCAUAAGUAAAUUCAAUAACUCAAAUUUUCAAACAAACAGAACAAUAAUUCAAGUAAAGAUUGGAUAUUACAAAAAGCAAGAUUGAAACUUACUUCUCACUUGAGGAUCUUUGCUAAUCUCAGUAGCCAAAGUAGUUUUUCCACUACCCCCAAUACCACAAAUCCCAAUAACUUUCAAAUCAUCUCUUCCAACAACAACUUCCAUCAUUUUCUUCUUUGCUAAAACCAUUCCAACUCCAAUCAAAUUCACAACUUUCUCUUCUUCUUCAACUUUCCUUCUCAUACUCUCUUCCACCCAUCCAUUUCCUUCAAUUCUCAAACCCCCAAUUCUUUCUUCCAAUUUAUCUAUCCCAAUCUUUUCUUCCAAUCUAUCUAACCCAACUCUCAAAUGAUGAACAUCAGCUAAUACAUGAAAUUGCAAAGGACCAUUAAUGAAUCUUGAAACAUUUUUCUCUAAUUUCUCCAUUUUUCUUGCAUAUUGCAAAUUCUUGUAAACAUUCCAUCGAUUAGAAGAUAAGACUUUAACUGCUAAUUCUCUUCCUGCUGUUAAUGUUUCAGAUAAACGAUCAAGAUGAUUCUGACGUCCUUGUGGUAAUUCAACACCGGAAUACUUGAUCUCUGUAAUGAUUGGAAGUAAUUCAUUUAUAGAAAUCAUUAGUUGUUCUGCACUUGCUCUACAUAAUGAACAUUUUCUUGUAAUUUGAAAUAGUUGUUUUAGUAAUUCAGUUGCGAUUUCUCCCGCGAAAAAAUCUGUUACCGCCAUUUUUUUUUUUUUUUUUUUUUUUUUUUUAAGAAGUGGUGGUGGUGGUUGUGAACUUUGUGAUGAUGGAGGUACUGGUAGUAGUAGUAGAAGAGUAAAUGGUUUUAGUUGUUUUAAUAAAGAAAGAUGAGAGAUGAAGUGAAUGGAGAUAAAGAAAACAAUGAGUGGUGGGACCCAUGUUUCACUGUCAUCUUCACUGUCUGUUUGAGUAUUGACUGUUGACUUUGACUAAUUAAUUAUACUAACUAAUUAUAGUAGUUAUUUGAUGUGAUGUGAGAUGUCAUAAAUAACCUGUUAAUCGAAUGUUCUACUGAUGUGGCAAUGUGGCUAAAAUUGAAAAUAUAUUUAUUUUGAUAUAAUAUAAAAGUGAAUGUAAGAUAUGAAAUGGAUCCGUGGCGCAAUGGUAGCGCGUCUGACUCCAGAUCAGAAGGUUGCGUGUUCGAUUCACGUCGGGUUCAACAUUUUGCUCGCAUUGAAGAAGAAACAACUAUAGAAUAGCUACAUGAGAUUUUUUUUUUUUUUUUUUUUUAAGAGUUUGUGGGUACCCACAGUGGGAGAGAGGCCAUAUAUAGGUUCAGUAGAACUGGACCGAUAACCGGAACAUCCCCACACUCACAUCCUUGGGCACUUUGAUUGUGUGGUCUGUGAGAUUUGUGUACUACAGGUCUACAGUAGGACACUUUUGAUUGUGUAGUCUGUGAGACUUUUUAGAGAUGCAUGGGAAGUUUGCAACUUUGUAUCCGAGAUAAUUUAAGUAUAGUACUUUUGUGCUCUACUGCCAUGCAACUAUCUGGGUCACUGUGGUGAAAAGUCUGCAGUAAUACUGUAAUAGCAAGUCCUUACUAAGGUUUUGGCUGGGAGGGAGUGCAUGAGGGUUCAGCUUCACAGCUUGGUUCAUACCCAGAGCUGUGACAGCUACCAGUGAACAACUCAACCUGUAACUAUUAAUGUGAUGUUGUGACUUGCGCUGACAAAAAUGGUCCGAGUACAUUGUUUUGAUGUCUAAUCACAAUGCAAAAAAUGUGUUCCUUUUCCUAGAUAGCAAUAUAGCAUCAAUCCUAAAGCCCAAACACCCGACAACCUAAACUGUUUAGUGUUUUUGUUGUUUUAAGACUCCAAGCAAUGAAACCUGAAAGUGAUUAGAUCACUAAGCACUGAAUUAAUUUUAUGAACAAAAAAAAAAGUACCACUCAACAAAAAGAAUUCAAGAUCCCAGACUCGAACCUAAAUUAAUGAAAGUGUAAUCAGGAAUUCAGGAUUUCUGGCCAAUUCCAAGUAAAAAUAAACAGUCAGACAGAAAACUUGUUCGGAAACAAAGUAUGUAAGAAUACAACAAAUCUACUGUGUUAAAAUUACAAAACCAUAGAAGGGAAACACAACAUUUCUAAGAAGUAAAAACACAAUACCAAUAAUACAAAGAGGACUGCAUCUGCCUUGUAAUAUAAAGACAUCACACUCCACAUAUAUGACAGACGACGAUUGACACUAAUGAAGCAAAUGGUGUCUUACGGUCCAAUCAACGUUAUAUCAAAAACUCCCUCGGUCUUCAAGUGUAUAGCCCCUAAACUUUGCCGUGGAAGCGAUUAACAUAAAGCCAUUGACCUUAUCACAUUGCGUAUACAAUUUCACCACUACUGUCGACAUCAAGAUCAAAAUCAGUAUCUAGGUCAUCCAUGUCAUCAUCAAAGUCCAAAUCACCAGCAAGACAAUGACUGAGGUUGCGAGUCCCAGGUGCAGGUAUCGUGGCUUCUGCGAUGAUCUGCAUGAUUUCAUCAACACUUUGCAUAGGCUGAUCAGGUUCUACAAACUGACUGCUCAUUGGAUUGUCAUUGAUGAGAUCCGCAGGAAGAUUCUUCAGAAACCACUCAUGGCUAUGAAUUUCCGACAUGGUAAUCCUCUGUCUCGUGUAAUCAAAGGAAUAAGAUUCAGUAUUGAUCAAGGUAGCAGAAAUUAUAUUGAGGUCUAUUAUUAUUAUUAUCUUCUUGUUUACCCCAGCAUCAACAUUAUAAAGCGGACAAAUAGAAAUAAAUUAAGGUGUAACUCGCACAAUACGAUGGACAUGCAAAACAUAGAUACACAAAUGGAGAAAAAGCUUCGUUGUAAUUCACACCAUACAACACUAUGCAUGAAGCCAUGAAGAUGUUAAAGGGGCGACCAACCGAAAAUAGGAAAUGAACAUCAAAGAUGCUCUAUUGCUUGUGAAACGAUGGAGCAAAAACAAGGAAAUGAAUAUCAAAGAUACUCUAUUUUCGACUAAACUCUCACGGUCCAUUGCUCUAUUGUUUGUGAAAGAAAACGUUGCACCAUGAUGUGAGGUGCUAACUUAGUGCAUCAUCAAGCCUAAAGAUCUGAGGCUUCAUGUGUGUGGUUUUUCAUUAAACAAUCAGUACAAAAAUAUGAUAGAACUUUAGAAGGAACUUGAAAAAAAAGAAGAGAAAGAACAAGAAAAUGAAGUACAAUAAUGAAUUAAUGAUAAAUAUCGUAGUAUAUCAGUAAAAAGAUGUGACAAGUAGUUUAAUAUAUUGAAGUAUAUUCACAUUGUAACCAAUUCAGCUGGUUUUGUAAAUUUGGUCAGAGAUUAUCACAGAACUGACUUCCAAUUUCAUUUACUAAAUUUUAGCUUAGUUAGCUGAAGAAGGGAACUGAGUGCGUAUACUUUUAGAUGAAGUGACUUCUGAGACAUCGUCGCCUUCCAAAUUCAUAUGAACAAAUUUAGAUUAGUUAACUGAAGAAGGGAACUGACUGCGUGGCCAGAAACUUGGACAAAGCGGCAUAAUUUUUGUCCACUUGCCCAAGACGUACAGCACAGAAGCACAGAUUCAGAAGUAUAUGAGUGGGCAACUCAAAAGCAUAAGCACUGAAGCAUAUGCCUCUAUUAUUGUAGACCUGAAUAACACAUUUGGGGUUUGUUGGGUGACUAGUGACACUCAUCCGGAGGACACUUGGACGUGUGACUGUGUGAGUGUCACAUUAAAGUACGACGAUGAGAAUCAUGAGACCAACAUAACAUCAUGAUGACAAAAAGAAGCAAUUAAAGCAAAUGAAUUGUAUGGUCAGACAAAAAUGGAGGAUGGCUAAUCUCUUCUCUCAAUUUCUCCUAGUUCUCCCGUUGAUCUGCGGAACUGAAGUACUAUUACUAACCGUGGAAGGGUUUCCAACAAAUAUCCUUGAUAUCAGGUGGCAGCACUCAGGAGAUAUAUGGACAUAGUCUGGUAUUGAAUACUGAACGCUCAAAAUUCUCUGCAGAAAACAAACAAUUGAUUAGUAUAUAGUAUACUAAUAUAAUCUACUGUCAUUGGGUGCAAUAAUAAGCUUCAACCACAAACCUGUAUUGUUUUCUUAAAAUUCUUGGGCUCUUCAGGAUCCUCGAAUGGAUAAGCACCCACAAGCAUGACAUAGAGGGUUACACCACAAGACCAAACAUCUGCAAUCUAAAUCACCGCCAUACAUUAACUUAUAUCACAAGUUGCAUCGAGAAAGUGUCUGGCAGCUUGACAUCAAUUACAAAUUCAAGCUAGUAUCUUAACUGAAAUUGUAAUAUAGACCUAGGACUAUGGAUAUGACAGUAUGAGAUAAGUCAGAGAAUUUUAUCCCUUUGAACAAACUGACAAGGAGCUCUCUUUGGGUAAGUCAUUCAAACCACUUUCUCCCUUGGAACAAACUGACACAUUUGGCCCUAAGUAUUCUUCUUCUCACGAUGAAACAGAUAAUGGGUUUUGACUUUUUACAAAGGCCUAUAUCACUAUAUGUUGGUAUAAUAAUCUAUGCAUUUGCCUCUUGCACCUAUUUUGAGAUUGAUAGGUGGAGUAGGGUGAAUAAUACACACAUCUCAUCAAUUACGGAAGCAUGUAGAUGUUGUAAGAGAUAAAAGCUUACUUUUCCAUCGUAUUCCUUACGAAGUAAGACUUCUGGAGCAAUAUAAGCAGGGGUCCCCACGGUUGACUUUGGUUGUGAAUGCAGUACUGAUGACUGACAAAAAAAUAGAGAUUUCAAUGAGUAUGUACAUGAGAUUGCCUUAGAAAAGAAGAAAAACUGCUAGAGUAAGCAAGUUCUAGUACAAUUGGAUUUGAAUCAAGAAUUUUAUGCAGUAUGAGGGGGUUGAUAUAAAUGAUAUAUCUUCAACUCAAAUGUAAUAAUUCAUACAACUUCUAAAAUCAAGUAUAUGGUUCCACAUAUAAUUAUAUCCAAUGUAGUCAGAAUAAUAUUCAUCCCAACUUUAAAGUUUAAAGUAGGUGUGAUGCUAUGAGUUUCCAAUUAAAAACGAAAAACAAUUAAAGAUGGAAGUAAUAAAACCUUAGAGUACCCAAAGUCACAUAUCUUUAGACGAGGAGCCGGGCUUCCAUCCAAGAGUGUGUUUUCCAACUUCAAAUCGCGGUGACAUACUUGCUUCACAAAGAAAACAAAAUAAAGAAGAACAUCCAAUCAUUAAUGGUUCCUUAAGAGGACUAGAAAUGCAAUUCAAACAAAUCUUUUUAAAUACCAUUGAAUGACAAUAGCUGACUCCUGAUAUAAGUUGUUGGAAGAAAAACCGAGCCUGUGACAAGACCAGGAUUAAGAAAACAUCAAACUGAAGUUCCCGUUGUAGAGGAAAAGGAGUUAAUUGAUAAAAGUAAUAACCUCAUCCUCACUGAAACGUCCUGCAUUACAUAUUCGUUCAAAGAGCUCUCCACCAGACGCGUACUCCAUAACAAUAGCCAGAUGGGUUGGUGUCAAUAUGACCUAAAGUAUGAUUUACAAUAACUUAAAAAACUGUGUUAAGCCAUAAUUCCUUUACCAAGUUAAUAUCUAAUAUCAAAAAGAAAAAAUGAAACAAACCUCUUUGAACCUGACGAUAUUAGGAUGCCUCAAUGAUCUAUGAUUGAUGAUCUCCCUUUGUACAUUUGCAUCUAUCUGUCAGAUGAAAAACAAGAUGAGAAUGGUAGCCAUGUUCUUAAUCCAAUUUCACAUCUACACUACAAUGACAUUCUUCUCAUUACACACCUAAACUAAAAAAAUCAUAUUGCUCUGCCCCCAAAUUUUAUCAUUUUCUAGUUUAUAUCACAUUUGAAAUUUGAUUCAGAUAAUUCAACAUAUUGAAGAACAAUUCCAUUUCUCAAUCUAUGUAAUAGAUAUACUUGCAAUUUAACAAAUAUGCAACUACACCUUGAUAUCUAUUGAAGAAAGCUAACCUUUUCACCUCUUUCAAUAUACUUAACAGCAACAAGUUCUUUACUUUGUUUAUCUCUCAUUAACCUCGCAACACCAAAGUUUCCUGAACCAAUAUCCUUAACAAGCUCAUAUCGAUCAUUAUCAUGCAUUAUCGGCAUAUCCAUACCUGGUCCAACUGUAAACUGUGAUCGAUCCAUGUAAUCUCCUCCUCCUCCUUCUCUCUGACUCUGAUCAUCCAUCUUCUCAAGUCUCACUCAACUCAAUCUUCUAUCUUCUUCUUCUUCUUCAAACUAUCAAUUGAUACGUGGUGAUUUAUGAUCAAAUCAUUCGAUUAAUCGAACCGAUCGAUCAAGAACACAUCAAGUGUUUGGUUGGUUGAGGAUAGAGACUGAAUGAAGAAGUAAUCUCGUGAGAAUUUAAGAGAGAGAAAGUGAUUUGCAGAGAGAGCUCGUGAUGAGCUGCUUGCUUUUAACUACUUCUUUCUUUCUUUCUCUCUCUAGAUUACACUUUUAAUUAAAAAAAUCUAAUUGUGAAAGAAGAUAUUUUUCUCUCUCUGAUGAUCUAAUCGACGAAGUAAACGGAGAUUAUAUAUGUUAAUUAAUGUGAUUGUGCGUGCGAGCGAACAAGAUUAUUAAAUGUAAAUUAAAUUACAUUUGUAUCCUCUGUUUCUUGAUGAAAAAUCACACCAGAAAUUACCCAAACACCCUUAGUUUCGGAUAAGGGUCACAAGUACCAAUGACUAACUUUCUUUUAAAGGGGUGGUUUAGGUUUCAGAGUAAGCAAUUCAAAUAAAUUGACAAGUUUUCCCACGCACCAGUCAAUACAACCAACUCAUAGAGUGUUUUGUGUGUGUGCUUGUAAUAUGUUUGACGAAAUGACUUAAUGGCCUACUUAUUCUUGUUCAUGAAAAAAUUUCAAGAGCUUUGCAUUGAGCAGAAUUGAAAGCAACCCAUGCUCAGUAAAUACCUAGGUAAGAUUUUUAUUUUGGUUGCAGUUGCAGACUUGCAGUGUCUAAAAAUCUGCAGAUAUUGGAUGAUGGUGUCAUUCUCGUUAGUUGUUACCCAAAAUGAUGUUCCUGUGGAUGCCCUUGUAGUUGUCUCUCCUCCAGAUGGAGUAAUACCGGCAUAAGGCAUAAGGCCUGCUCCUAAGAAGAGGAUAAAGCAACGUGGAAUAUUGUUUUUCAUGCUGUGCAUCAAUCAAGGGUAAGUCUCUUUUUCCUCUGUCAUAUUAUUUUAAUAGCAGAACAUAAUUUGUUAAACAUUUUAAACCCCUCACAUAAUCACAUUAUUUCGUUGGCUAUAAGAAUAAAUAUUCUACUAUUUCGCUAGAUAUGCAGUCAUGUAUUUAUGUGUACAUAUUAUUUUAAAUUGGAAAAGGCAGCUUAGGUGCAUUUGCAACCUAGUAGUCUGGGCUGUUCAAAGCACAUCUGAUGCAGUUGCGCUAUUUUAUGAAACCUUGAAAGAAAGAGAGAAAAAAAAAAGGAGGUUGCCGUGGUUGGUCCUUUUGGCUUCUUUUCUUGUUCAAUGUUUUUAAAGGGCCUUAGCAAAACCAAAUCUGUUUUGCCACAUUACGGUUCUAAGCUGUUUUGCUACUGUAUUAAGAAGGUUAUGGUAGUAACCACAUUUUGAGCUAAUUUCUGACCAGUUAAAUGACGUCCCAUAUAAGCGGUUUUGACAAAAAAAAAUUGCCCUUAUCAUUACGGUUCUAAGCUUCCUUGAGAACAUGGAUGAGUUCUAAGCAUCUCUAGGCAGCUAAAUGAUAGGGACGUCAUCUAGACGGUAGUGUAAUGUAAUGAUAGGGGCAAUCUAGAGGGUUACGGUAGUUUAACGAGACAUUCCAUGAAAAAAAAUUAAUUGCCACAUCAGAUUCCCGUUAACAAAAUUUAGACGGUAGUUUAACGUCUGAGACAUUGUAUGAAAUCAAAAGGUUCACGAUCAAACUGAGAAAAAAAAAAAAAAAGUUUGCUAGCCAAAUUGCGAAUUUGGGCAAAGUUUACUAACCAAAACAGCAAAUUCGCCUUAGCCAAAGCGUCCGGACUAGAAGGUGUUUCUGCAGGUCAAGUUCUGGAUAUUAUUUCAACUGGUGACACUGACAUUAGUUUGGGUCAACUCGAACUCAUCCAUGUUCUCAAGGCAGCUAAGUUAGUCGAAGCAUCACUAGUGAUAGGGGCAAUCUUGGGAGGUGGUUUACUAUUUCAAGUUGUAGAUGAUAUCCUCGAUACUACACAGUCUUCAGAAGAAUUGGGUAAGACAUCUGGAAAAGAUGUGAUGACUGGCAAGACUACUACUUAUCCUAAACUUAUGGGUCUUGAAAAAUCUAGAGAGUUUGCUGAGAAGUUGAACACAGAAGCCAAAGAUACAACUUUCUCAUUUCGAUCCAGAGAAAGCAGCACCAUUGAUUUCUCUUGAAAAUUUCUGUGUGUAUAGACAAAAGUGAUUAUGACAAUUAUCAGGAAAAAAAGAAAAGAAAAACAUGAUAAUAGUGUAUGAAAGCUAUAUUGGUAUUAACGUUGUUGAUUUUUUUGUCAGGAGAAAAAUCAAUAAUUUGAUUAUUAAAAACCUAUGUAGUCAUGCUAUUGGGGUAUUUCAGUUUCAAUAUUAUUUAUACAUUGAUAUAUAUAACUCAUCUGUAUUAUUGAUAUAGGACGGAUCCGGGAAUCUGAGUUGGGGGGUGCAGAAUUACAUAUAACGUAUAUGCUAAGAUUCUGAGGGGUGCGAUUUCUAUAUAUCUUAGCAAAAACAUUUAUGAAUGUAUAAAAACAUAAGGAAAAUAAUGAAAAUUUUCAAUUUUGGGGGGUGCGGUCGCCCCUUGAAUCCGUCCUUAUAUGAUCUUGUUAUAUUUUAUAGAGAAAAUACAGAGGGGCCGUGAUGCAAUGUGUGCAAAUCAAAUUAGUCACCUGCUCCAAAUUGAGGCCGGAUUUUAUCAGUUGCCCAACAUUCAAAUUCUGACACAUUGAACCAGACCCACCUUAUAGCUCUGUAAGUAUCUAUUCUAUAUUUCUAUUACCAUUAUAGUAACUCGAAAACUUAGGGACACGGUAAAUAAUUUUUUUAGGAAAAGAAUAUAGUUUAAUGGCCUUGCUUUGGUUUUAUAUAUUGUUUCAGUUUUUAUUGGUAUGCCUUUUUUAGGGAGAUCACUAACUUAAUGAUACUGAUGGGGAUCAAAACCAAGACCCAACUGGAGGUUUUACCAAAUGAGCUCGGCUGGCACCUGCAGAAUUUUUUUUUUUAAUUAUUGGUUGAACCUUAUAUAUCUGCUAAGAUCCGUGCGGACAUUGUUAUGUCUUCCGUGCUGUUUGUUACACAUUUAAAAAAAAUAAAAAAUAAAAAAAAAUCAGUAGUUCAGUUGUCCUUUUCCCUCAUCUUCCUUAUUUGAAAUUUGAGAAUGCAUUUUAUAAAAAGGGGCGUUCCAGAGACUCAGGAAAUGUUUGACUCAAUUUUGACUCAAUCCUAUUUAGGGUACUUGUACAUGUUGGAUUGACAUGAUUUUUGGUAGAUAUGAUCUCCUUACUAUAAAGAUCAACUACAUAAAAAAUUAGCUCAUUUGAAUGUAUUUAGACCCAUCAAAUAUAAUAUUAAAUUCAACGGUAAAAAUGAACGUUCCAUAAUACAUUAACUUGUAAUAUGAUUUUACUAGGGUUAGAAAAUUCAGAUUAUGAUAAAUUUUGGUGAAGAUGUCGUAUACAAUGAGAACAUUCAUCCUACAAAAAAUCAUGUCAAUCCAACAUGUACAAGUACCCUAAAUAGGAUUGAGUCAAAAUUGAGUCAAACAUUUCCUGAGUCCCUGGAACCCCUCCCUUAUAAAAAUGCAUCUGAAUUCAAAUCUUGUCAACUGUGAUCUCAUUGUUCAAAUAUAAUCCUAUUAGAGUUAAGAGAUGAACCCUCCACUUCUUAAAUAAAUCAUAAACCUAAAAUUUUCUAUUUUCUUGUUCCUGGUGUGUUUCUGACAUAUUAUGUUAACAGCAGAACAUAUGUCGUUAACACAGUUUAAGCCUUAAUGCCUCACAUUAUUUUGUUGGCUUUAAGCAUAAAUCUUUGACUAUUAUCUUGAAACUUAGGAGCUAUAAAAAUAUUGGCUAAAAGCUUAUAUUUUGUAAAUUGGAAAAAAAACAACAAAGGUGUAUUCGGAACUGUAUUUGGGAAUAUAUAUUAGAAGCAUACCUGAUCCCAUUUUGCAGUUAGUAAGUACUUAAUAUAUCAAGGCCUGGUGCCUUGAGAAGUAUUCAGCUCGCCCGAGAUAGGCAUAAGUUUUGAUCACGACACUGUCCAUAAUUGGUGCAUGGCUCCCCCGUGGCUAUCAUGCCGUUAGGACACAUUUGCUCAUUUUCUUCUUCCUUAGAGUUCCAUAAUAAAGGAGAUAUUAAUAUGUUACUGUUAUGCAACAAUGUUUUUAAGGGCAUGGGUAUAAGUUAUAUCAUAUAACUAGUCUUUAAAUGUGGGCAGUUUGUUUGUAAAGUUAUAUUGCAAAACAAAAAAUUUAAUUAUGUGAGCAGUUUUUUUCUAAAUACCACAUUCAAUCAUCCUAACUAAAUCUCAUUUCCAAAUUAAAUUUGUUGUUAGUUUAUACCAAUCCAGCCCCACGACAUUCAUAACUUUACAACUCUACUCUUUGAUUUCUUACAACUACUGUUCUAUCAUUUUUUUAAUGUUUAGAAACAAAAUAUUCUAUAAAUAAGUUUUGAAUCCUUUCAUUUUCUACAAACUCAAUUUUGAGUAUCCUGGCUCUACCUUUCUUUCUUUUGGCUCUGUAAGCAAUUGGAUUAAGAAUUAUAGCACGAGAGCAUCAUGAAACAAGUGCCACACAGUUUCUUAACGAUGGAUUCAGUUACUUCUUUGUUGAACAUGUCUACAUGUAUUCAAACUUUUCCCAUGUUCAACCAUGGGCAUAGAUCGAUACCGAAGUCUUGUUUGAUGGCAAGCCUAGUUGAAAAGAGGCCUAGUUCUUAGUUAUCGUGGAAACGAAGUACCAGAAGAGUGCUUUCAAUCUCUGCAGCCCUAGGUAAAGAAGAGAUAAUUGAAAACCUCCAGAAAGAUUCCAAUUAUACCUACAAUUUUGAUUCCUACUUGUCACAGAGAGAGAUGCCCGUGAACCAAGCUCUUGACAAGGCUGUCUCACUCAAAGAACCGAAAAUACUUGAGAAAAAUGUCAAUUUGGUCCACAAAGUUUACACCCAAUUUUCAUUUUGGUCCACAAAGUUUCAAAUUGUCAAUUUGGUCCACAAACUUUCAUUUUCCUUGUCAAUUUGGUCCGCAAACAGUGACCUGAUUUGACAUAAUUUGAGACCAAAUUGACAAAGGAAAAUGAAAGUUUGUGGACCAAAUUGACAAUUUCAAACUUUGUGGACCAAAAUGGCUUUUAUUGUGUAAGUUAGUGGACCAAAAUGGCUUUUAGUCCGAAAAUACUUUAUGAACCUAUGCGACACUCUCUUCUAGCCAGAGGCAAAAGAGUCUGCCCUAUUCUUUGCAUUGCUGCCUGUGAGCUUGUUGGUGGGAAUGAAUCAACUGCGAUGCCUGCAGCAUGUGCAGUGGAGAUGAUCCACACAAUGUCGUUAAUACAUGAUGACCUUCCUUGUAUGGAUAAUGAUGAUAUGCGUCGAGGUAAACCAAGUAAUCACAAAGUAUAUGGUGAAAAUGUUGCAUUGUUAGCCGGAGAUGCACUUAUAGCGUUUGCAUUUGAGCACAUUGCAAGUGCUACAAAUGGUGUUCCGCCCGAUAAGAUUGUUCGUGUGAUUACUGAAUUAGCCAAAGCGUCCGGACCAGAAGGUGUUUCUGCAGGGCAAGUUCUGGAUAUUAUUUCAACUGGCGCCUCUGACAUUAGUUUGGGUGAACUCGAACUCAUUCAUGUUCUUAAGUCAACUAAGUUAAUCGAAGCAUCACUAGUGAUUGGGGCAAUCUUGGGAGGUGGUUCAGAUGAAGACGUUGAACAAUUGAAGAAAUUUGGGAAGUGCAUGGGCUUACUAUAUCAAGUUGUGGAUGAUAUACUUGAUAUUACACAAUCUUCAGAAGAAUUGGGUAAGACAGCUGGAAAAGAUGUGAUGACUGGCAAGACUACUUAUCCUAAACUUAUGGGUCUUGAGAAAUCAAGAGAGUUUGCUGAGGAGUUGAACACAGAAGCCAAAGAACAUCUUUCUCAUUUUGAUCCAGAGAAAGCAGCGCCAUUGAUUUCUCUUGUAAAUUUCUGUGUGUAUAGACACAAGUGAUUAUGAUAAUCACCAAAAAGAAAAAAAGGGUUAUUUCCCGAAUAAGCACCGAGUUGGUGUUCUUCCCAAAUCGUCCAUGUAUUUGAAAAGUUCAAACUAUUAUGACAAGUUUUAUAUGUGUCUGUGCAUUCAUCUAUGCUCUCAGAUGGGCCGCAAUGCGAUGUGCGCAAAUCAAAUAAGAGCAAUCAACUCCAAAUUGCCAGAUUUAAUCAGUUGUCCAUCCUAGCCCACCUGCUGUAAAUCUUGGCCUUAGGGCCUAUGCCUCAACCCUGAGACUCUGUCAUAAGUGGAUAUACCAUUAAGGUCUCUCCACUUGUAUCUCGAAAUCCAAGAUGAACUUUGUAUUAACCUAUUUCUAGAUUAAUGCACUGCUGGGUCAGGUCGCUGGGAAGACUUGACCAAAUGGGGAUGUUUGAGAUCGGGGUGGCUGCACCUCGUUGAGAUCGAGAUUGCCUACGUACUCUAGCUCGGGGGAAUUGAACUUAGAGAUCAAGCCAUCGUAGUUUUGUUUAUAUAGAAGAUAGAAGGGCGUGGAUCGUGGAUCUUGCAGAUUCUCCGCCAUCAUAAUGAGGAUUAAAUGUGUAACGCGCGAGGAUCAUCCCUGUGAAUUAAUUAUGUAACUGAUGAGAAUAUUCUGUGCAUUGAAUAGGAGCACGUGUGUAUAGUAGAUCGCUGCUCGUUGCGUAGUCGGGUCGCUUUAGUCGAGCUGCUAGCGGGUAGAUACUGUGGCGACCUGAUGGAUGGAUGAUUGUGCCACGUGGCUGCUUUUGAUUGGUCGGAGUAUGUAGUACCCCUACAUAAGCCCCCUCUUUUUAGGUCGGCUGUAGUAGUCGGGCUGAAAAGACUAAGGACUUUUAUCGAUGUUGAUUUGUGAUUUGCUUUUUGAAUGUUGCUGAUGUGGCAAUCAUGCAGCGCUGUCUAUGGUAAUCAUGGCGCUCUUACGGGGAAGUGGGGGAGUUUCCUCGAGCAGUUAGCCGUGUAGUUAUGGCAACUGACGCACGUAUUGCUAGAUUUAAUAUCUGUCUUGCACGUGGACUGAUCCAAUGGUGGAUACAGACCGUUUUGUGAGUGGAGAAUAACUGCAAUGCAUAUUGAUCCCUUGUUCGAUCUCAUCCGUUCGUUUGUUUUGAACCGAUGGCUGGAAAUGCUUGAGCUACAGUAUAUAAAUUGUAGUUACCUUGAGAAGGGUUUACCUAUCUUGCUUUUACUUUGAAUUGCUGCCGCUUUUCAGUUGCGAUCUGAAGAACUUUGAGAGUUCGUGAGGUUUGUUUUCUCUUCUUUUUGUUUCUUUGAUCUUCAGUUUUGUUUUCUUUCACCUUCUGUUUUCUUGUAUAUUGGUUGGGAGAAAUGUCUGACGCUAGUGACUCUCAAAAUGAUAAAUUGAGUGUUUGUGGUGAUGAGGAGAUUGAGUCUGAGGGUACUCGAUCUGACACUCCGUCUCCCGUUCGUGAUGAAGAGGUAGAUAGUCCUCAGAGUAGUGGUUCUCAUGGGGCAGACUCUUCUGAUGAUGAAUUGGUGGAGGGAGACGGUGGUGUAAUGUGUAGGGUUGUAAAUAUGAAUUAUGUAAAUAGGCAUAUCGUAGUUAGGAAAAUGUAUGGGUUUAGGUCGAUUAGGCAUUUGGAGAUUAGAUUUCUAGGAGAUCGUUUACUUUCCCCUGAGUAUCGACCUAAUAACCCUUUCUCAACUGUUUUCAUUUUGCCCCAAUUCCGUGCUGGGUUGAGGUUGCCAUUGUCUGGAUUGGUGGUAGACCUGUUGAAUGCCAUUAGUCGAGCCCCCUGUCAGAUGAAUGGUAAUUUCUGGCGGAAUAUGAGGGUAAUUGACGACCUCAACAAGUUGCAUAGGUGGAACAUUACAGUGAAAGAUGUACUGAACCACUUUAGCUUCAAACGCUCCUCGAAGGUUGAACUCUCGGGCUAUAACAUGCAGGUUAGGCCAGAUCGUUUGCCAUUAAUCUAUCCAGUAAGUAGCGAGCCAUGGUGGAAAGAUCCCAUGCUGCUUACUGGGUCGAUUGUUGAAGGGGAUAUCCAGUUGCGUCAUACGAUUAGGAAUGACGCUCGUAAGUUUGUUGUCUGUAGUACUAGGAUUGCUGAUUUGUUUUCCUGUUUCUGAACUUGACUUCUUUGUAUUUUUGUUGCAGCGAUCCGGGACGAUCAUUUGAUUAGAAAAAACGAUCUGAAAUCUGCUCUGAACAGCUUUGGUAAGUUGAGCGACGAGCGGAAGAUCUCGUUUCUACCCCACCUAAAGGAGCUUUUUAUUCCUAAAGGUGGUCCAAAAACUGUUUGGGAAGAGCUCGAGAGGAGGAAAGCUUUGAAGAAAGCAUAUAUGUCUGCUGUUCACAAAUCUGGUGGAGUGCGAUCUGGCAGUAGCUCGCGAGCUGAUGAAAGCGAACGGGCUAGCGGUGGCUCGAGGCAGGAGAGAGAGCGUUCUGUUGGCGCACCUCGGAGGUCGGAAAAGGGUCGACCUGUUGACAAGGAUCGUCCUCUGGUGCAGGAACGACCUGUGGAGAGAGAGCUACCUGUGGGAAGGGAGCGUUCUGCUGGUAGUUCUCGGCAGGUUGAUGCAAUGGCGAGCCCUCCAGUCUCCGGUCCUCCCGCCUCACUUCCAAAAGUAGGUGCCUUGGCUGGGAAGAAAAGGUCCUUCGCAGGGAACCUUAAGGUGAUGGAGUUCCCUGCUAUGCCAGCUCCUGUUUCUUCAAUGCCUCUGACGUCUCCUGGGAUGUCAGCUUUGUCCAGGAAGACUGCUCCUCGGCCUUUGCAGAAAGGCAAAGGUACUUUGUCUGAAUUCCGGCCCGGGCCAUUUGAUUAUUUGGAUGGUCAAGGGGAGAAACAUGUCGUUUACGAUAACGACAGUGCUAUCGAUGACCCUUGCGUUGCCCGGGCCGUGAAUGAGGGUAUCGUCCUGGACGCUGAUGCCCGAGCAGUGAAGUCACAGCCUUUGUUGGUGACCUGCUCGAAGAUAAAUGCGGCGCUGUCUUUGGUGAGUGUGAGCAUCGCAUUGGUCUUGUUUAUGCUUUGACAUUUGGCCUAAAUUUUGUUGUUGAUUGCAGCUCAAUGCCAGCUUCCAGGAGAUGCGUCUGGUUGCUGAGAUUGGUGUUCAAGUUGAAAUUGAGUUGAAGGCGCUCAACGAGAAGCUGGAGUUGGCGAAGAACAUUGCUGUCGUUGCUGAGUGCAAGGUUAAGGACAGGGAUGCCCAGGUCGCAGCUCUGCAGGAGACGGUGGAGCAGUUAAAGGAAUGUAAUGCUGCUUCACAAUCUUCUGUUGAGUACUGGCAGAGGGUAUGUCAGGAGAAUGAAGCGGCGUGGAAGACCUACUGCGACCAACUGGUGAAAGCUAUUACGGGGUCGCCCGAAGGAGAGGAGACGUGAGGUGGUGUUGAGGGUACCUUGGCGCCAGCUCAGGACGCCUCGAUGGGCCCUGAUGAUCAGGUCGUUGUAGCUCCUACUGAAGUUGAUGCUUCUGGCGACCAGUCUACGCAGCAGUAAGCUAGCCUUGGUGUCCCUUUUCUUGUAUUGGGUAACCUUGUGCAAAGUUUGCUUCUUGCACUCCUUGUUCUUGCAGUAUGUCUUCUUGCACUCCCUCUACUUGGCUGAGCGCACUUUUGAGAGCCCCCUUGUAAUUUUGAGAGCUUGAGUGGAUGAUUCUUUUUCUUUGCAUCUACCAUCAGUAGUCAGUUUGUACUUUGAUGAGCUUGUAUGAAACCCUUCUGACCAGCUAGUUUCCAGGGAGUCCUGGUAGCUCGUUCAGAAGGCAGGUAGAUGAGAUGAAUGGCUGCAAGCAGGACGUACUGAAACAGUUCCUCUUGUAUGCCUUGGUUCUAUUUUGGUUGUACCUGUAAUCGUUAAAAUCUCAUAAAGUAAAAAGUUAAUUCAACUAUUUACCUUGCAUUGUUGUUCAAGUUGUUUUGUCUGCUUGAAUGGGAUUUGCAAACAAUAAGGGGCAUUUGCUCGACCUGCUUGGGGUCGCAUUCAAUAUAGUUGUGCUUGGGUCGUGGGAAGAGAAUGACCAAUGCACCAAGUUAAGUUGAUAGUGAUUUAACUUAACAAACUUUGAAAUUAUCAAAGGGACUAGAGUUUUGAUAAUUUGUAGGUCGAGGGAUUGGACCUUUAGCAACCAUUCAUGUUUGAGCAGAGAUGAAGGCAAAAGUGAAUUUAUACAUUGGAAUACAAUGAAUAAAUGCUUACAUUUCAUUGAUAAAAUUUCUUUAAGUGAAAAGCGUUCCAUGGGUUCUUAACGAUCUCUCCUUCUGGUGUUUGAAGACGAUAAGAACCGUUGCUCUGGACCUUUGUGAUAAUGUAAGGACCUUCCCAAUUGGCGUUCAGUUUGCCAAUCAUGUCCUUUCUUUUAUUGUGGAACAUUUUCCUUAGGACUAGUUCCCCUGGCUGGAAAGUUCUUGGUCGCACGCCUUUGUUGUAAGCUCUCUUGAGUCUCUGUUGGUAUUGUUCGAGUUUUAUAGUGGCAUGGUUACGGCGUUCUUCGAGGAGGUCUACUCCGAACGACCAGGCUUGAUUGUUGAGCUCAGUGUCGACCAGAAGUGAUUUGGUUGUUCCAAAUGUUAGCUCGGUGGGAAUAACUGCCUCAACUCCGUAGCACAGGCUGAAAGGUGACAUCCCAGUGGAUGUGCGAGGGGUUGUCCUAUAGGCCCAUAGGAUGUUUUCCAGCUGUUGUGGCCAUUGAUCAUGCUGGUCUUCGAGCUUCUUCUUCAAAUUGUUUAGAAUCUGUCGAUUUGCAGCUUCGACCUGGCCGUUGGCCUGCGGGUAUCUAGGAGUUAAUCUUGAAUGCUCGAUUUUCCACAGGUCGUAGAAUUUUUUUAUAUUCUUGCCAACGAACUGAGUGCCAUUGUCUGUGACUACUCGUUUUGGUAGUCCAAACCUUAUGAUGAUGUUUUCCCACAUGAAUCUUUGGACAUCUGCUUGUGUUACGUUGGUUAGAGCGACAGCUUCUAUCCAUUUAGUGAAAUAGUCGACGGCCACUAGAACGAACCUCUUCUCAGAUUUUUUUUCUUUGAUUAGGGGCCCCAUGAUAUCGAGCCCCCACAUGUGGAAUGGCCAUGGUGCAGUGAUGUUAAUGAGAUCAUUCGGAUGUUGGUGUUGCUUAUCAGCAAAUCGCUGGCAUUCUUUGCACUUCAAAACAAAUAUCUUUGCAUCUUCCUCCAUUCUUGGCCAGAAGUAUCCCUGAGAGAUUGCUUUAUGGGCUAAGGUACGCCCACCGGAAUGGUUUCCACAUUCACCUUCAUGGAUUUCUUGAAAUAUCAUCUGGCCUUGCUUUGGAAUCAGGCAUCGUAACAAUAAUCCAGUUGCAGAUUUUCUGAAGAGUUUGCCCUCAUGGAUUUUGUACAUUGUGACUUUAUGCAGCAAUCGACUGGCUUCCUUUUUGUCGGAUGGCAGGACACCAGUUUGAAGGUAAACCAUGAAAGGCUCCAUCCAGGUCCCCUGGAUGUCUGCUGGAGUUGUUUCUAGUAGGUCGGAGAUUUGAUGAACAUCCUGUUCCUUGAAGAGAUAUGCGGGUUGUGAGUUGAUUGCUAUAGUUAGGGCCCGCGGUCUGUCUGACUCGAUCUUAAAUGCUAGAAAUGCCAAUGAAUCAGCAUGUCUGUUGUCGUCUCUAGGUAUGUGCUCAAUUGUGAAAUAAUUGAGCUUGCUGAUGAGCUCUUUUGCUUUGCUGGCAUACCUGAUUAGGUUGACCCCAUUGAUCUGGUAGUUGUUAGUGAUCUGAUUGACUACCAGUUGGGAGUCGCUGUACACCUUGAGACGAAUUGCUUGUAGCUCGACGGCCAUCUGUAGGCCCUAGAUGAGUGCUUCAUACUCGGCCUCGUUGUUGGAGGUCGAGAAGUCUAGACGAGCUGAUCUCUCGAGCUGUGAACCCUCAGGAGAGAUUAACACAGCACCUAUACCACUUCCAUUGGAAUUGUGGGAGCCAUCUACAUACAGCUGCCAUGUGUCUGGAGGAUUGUCUUGGAUUUGCCUUGUUUCAGGUUCUGGUUCCCAAUUGACAUCCUCUGCUGGAUAGUCUACUAAGAAGUCUGCGACGACCUGGCCCUUGACGGCCUGCCGUGAUACGAACUCAAAUGUGUAAUCACCCAGUUCUGCUGCCCAUCGAGCCAUACGACCUGUUUUGUUUUUCUUUUCUAGUAUGUGGCGUAAUGGCUGAUCGGUGAUUACUUUUACUGUGUGGGCUUGGAAAUAAGGUUUGAACUUGCAUGCAGCGUAAAGUAAAGCUAAUGCUAACUUCUCUAGAGGUGUGUACCUUAUUUCGGCCUGUUGUAAGACUUUGCUUGUGAAAUAGAUAGGUCGCUCGACCUGGUUCUCCUCUUUAAAGAGUACUGCGCUGAUCGCGAAAUCUGAUGUUGCGAGGUAAACGCCGAGUACAUCUCCAUCGUUAGGCCUUGUGAGAAAUGGUGGAGUAGACAGAUAUGCCUUGAGAUCAUUGAAGGCCUUCUCGCAUUCUUCUGUCCACUCAUAUGUAGCCCCCUUCUUUAGGAUAUGAAGCAUUGGUCUGCACUUAUCUGAUGCUCUUGAGAUAAACCUGUUCAGAGCUGACAUCAUGCCGUUGAGUUUUUGGAUUUGUUUUUUUGUUUUUGGGCUCUGCAUGUCGAUCAGGGCUCUGAUCUGGUCGGGAUUUGCUUCAAUGCCUCGUCUGGUGACUAGGUAGCCAAGGAAUUUUCCUGAUGCAACCCCGAACAGACACUUUUCUGGAUUAAGACGCAUUCUGUAUUGCCUUAAUCUUUGGAAUGCCUGGUCGAGAUUGUACAAAUGAUCUCGUUCUUUGUCACUCUUUACUAGCAUGUCGUCAAUGUAGACUUCCAUUGUCCAACCUAGGAGGUCGUCGAACAUUCUGGUGACCAGUCUUUGAUAGGUCGCACCUGCAUUUCUUAACCCGAAUGGCAUAACCUUGUAGCAGAAAAUACCUUGCUCUGUAGUGAAAGAGGUCUUCUCUUGGUCAGGCUCGUACAUUGGGAUCUGGUUAUACCCUGAGUAUGCGUCCAUGAAUGACAGUAGCUCGAAACCGCAUGUCUGAUCGACUAACCUAUCGAUUCGUGGCAGUGGGAAUGAAUCUUUAGGACAAGCUUUGUUCAAACUUGUAAAGUCGAUGCAAACUCUUGUUUUUCCAUUUUUCUUUAAGACUGGUACUAUGUUUGCUAGCCAGUCUGGAGUAUCGACUUCUCUGAUGAAGCCGACCUGUUUGAGUCUAUUGAUCUCUUCAUUGACAGCUUCAUGGAAUUUGGGAGCAAGUCUCCUUGGUUUCUGCUUGACAGGUCGAUAAUUGGGAUUGACCCGUAGCUUAUGGCAUGCAAUUGAUGGGUCUAUUCCGGGCAUAUCGAUAUACGACCAAGCAAAAACAUCUUUAUUAUUUGAAAGAAAAUUUACAAAGUUGACGAACUUAUCUUCUUCCAGUUCUGAACCUACAUAGACAUAUCUUGGGUCCUCAUCUGACCCAAUGUUCACCCGCACGCCUGGAUCGGUGCUUCCGAGACUAAGCUUGGGGAAAAGCUUGUGGGAGCUCGUUUGCUCCUUCUGUAAUUGCUAUUUAGCAGGUUCAUCCUUUUCUUUGGACGGGCUUUUUGACUUGUUGUUGCCCUCCUGAGCUUCUGUUGUGACUAGGCUUUUUCCUUUAUCAUCAGCAUCCUUGACUCCAGAGGUGGAUGGUUUUGACGAUGGAACAGCUUCAAUAAUGCCGUGGCAUUCCUGUGCGGUGUUCUGAUUGCCGCGGAGUUCCAUUAUCCCAUAAGGGCCGGGAUAGCGGAAUACCUGAUGGUAAGUUGACGGCACUCCUCUCAUAGCAUGGAUCCACUUUCGACCCAGAAUCACAUUGUAUUUGCUUGCGAUAUUGAGGACGCUGAACUUGCUGGUUACGACGACCUUGUCUUCCCUUCUGCCUACAGUGACGGGCAAAAGAAUCUCACCCUUAGGGUCUUCCCUUGAACUAUUGAAGCCAAGGAUGGGUGUGAAAUCUGGUAUGAGCACUGAGUCGGGCAGCCUCAUGUCCUUGAAGGUUCUAUACAUGAGAAUGUUACAUGAUGCUCCAGGGUCAAUGAAUACCCUCUUGAUAGUAUAAUCUGCAAUCCGCAGCUCGACGACAAAGGCGUCAUUGUGAGGAGUAACGACCUUGUUGAGAUCAUCCUCAUUAAACGUGAUAUCGGACUCUUGUCGGGCGGGGAUGUUAAAACGAGCUGCUCGGCCCGUAAUGGAGUAGACAUGAUGGAGAUGCUCUACUCGUCUCUUCUUAUCUCGUGAGACAGGGGUGUGGUGGGAUUCAUCGAUCAUGUAGACUACAUGACUAUCUGAUUCGCUAUCGCUGUCAACUUUGUUUGCGACCUUCUUGUUGAUGUGGUCGCGUAGGUCGCCUGUUGGACCUAAGCGUUUGGAGAGGCUACGCCCUCUGCUGCGUGUUGGGCUUGCGGAGGCCGCUCUGGCCUUGCUGUUGCCCCGCUUUGGUGAAUGAGGAGGUGUUCUGGAUCCCUUCCUCAUCUUCUUGUUUGCCGGAUCUUCCUGUCUGUCGAGGAUCCAAUUGUUGAGCCUUUUCUCAUCGGCCCAUGUUUGCAGUGCGCGUUUCAGAACGCGACAGUCAUCAGUCUGAUGACACCGUACUUUAUGGACUUUGCAGUACGGGCGACCAGAUGUAUCCUCCAAUUGUGUGAAGGCAGGAAUCUUGCACCAAUGGUUGUGCUUGAUCCUUUCAUAGAUAUAACCGGCUGGUCGCGUAAACCGGUGAUACUCUCGCUGCUCGGUAGGCAGCGACUUAGCUUUGAACCUCUUUCCGUCUGAUCGAGGUCGCUUGGUUGAGCCAGACUCAAUGUUGCUGACUACGUGGUUCUUCUCCCUCCCAGUGAGGGCUUCUUCAAGCUUUAUAUAACGAUCUACCUUUAGAUAGAGCUCGUCAAGUGAUGAAGGUCUCUUCAUUGCCAGAGACUUGUGGAGGUCGGACCCUUGGGUCAGACCGUGAGUGAAUGCGAUGGUUGCAAAGGUCUCGUGUUCCUUCGCGAAAUCCUGAAUGGAAUGUAAUUCGGAUUUAAAUCGAGCAAAAAAUGUGCUAAGAGACUCACCAUCUUGCUGCUUGACUUUGAAUAUGGAAUCGAUGGUGACAGGGCGUUUCUUGUUAUGGAUGUAAAAGAUGACAAACUGUUUCUCAAGCUCUGCGAACGAGCUGAUGGAUCCUGGCUUCAAUCGAUGAAACCAGUCGAGAGCUGGUCUGGUGAGGCUGGACUGGAACAGCAAACACAAAAGAUGAUCUUCCUUGAUCAGUGGGAGAGACUUCCGGAAUCCCUUGACGUGGUCGGUUGGAUCUCCGACUCCUGCAUACUGGUCAAACUUGGGGGCAUUCAGCUUGUUAGGCAAAUCGUGUUCUAGGAUCUCCUUAGAGAAAGGAGACUCUUGAAACUGCUGGAGUGACUGGACAGCAAGUUGCUCUGCAGUGUGACUCUUGGAACGGUGGAGAAGGGCCUGUGAUGCUUUGAACUCCGCCAGUUGUUGACUGAGUUGCUCGAAUUUCUGAUUGGAAUCGUCAGUAGGAACGAUUCCAUGUCCGCUACUUUCACCCUGCUGGGGGUUGGUUUGUGCAGCUUUGAGGCGUGCAUUUUCUUCCUGCAAAGCUGUGAUUUGAGCAUGCAGAUCAUUGAUAGUUAAUUCUGUGGUAGUCAUUUGAACAGAUGACUUUUGAUUUUGGGUGGGAGGGUUUGGGUUUUCGAUUAUAUCGAAUUCCUUGCAGUCGGCGCCAAAUGUAUUAACCUAUUUCUAGAUUAAUGCACUGCUGGGUCAGGUCGCUGGGAAGACUUGACCAAAUGGGGAUGUUUGAGAUCGGGGUGGCUGCACCUCGUUGAGAUCGAGAUUGCCUACGUACUCUAGCUCGGGGGAAUUGAACUUAGAGAUCAAGCCAUCGUAGUUCUGUUUAUAUAGAAGAUAGAAGGGCGUGGAUCGUGGAUCUUGCAGAUUCUCCGCCAUCAUAAUGAGGAUUAAAUGUGUAACGCGCGAGGAUCAUCCCUGUGAAUUAAUUAUGUAACUGAUGAGAAUAUUCUGUGCAUUGAAUAUGAGCACGUGUGUAUAGCAGAUCGCUGCUCGUUGCGUAGUCGGGUCGCUUUAGUCGAGCUGCUAGCGGGUAGAUACUGUGGCGACCUGAUGGAUGGAUGACUGUGCCACGUGGCUGCUUUUGAUUGGUCGAAGUAUGUAGUACCCCUACAAACUUCAUUUGUUUUACAAGAGAUUCACAGCGUAAGCUAGGGAAGAAAUAGAAAAUAAUACUUAGUGGGAUUUAGUUUUUGAUUUAACUUGUUUAGUUGUUUAAAUAUACAGUACAUUGCUUUCUAUAUAGAUUAAUUUCAGAUCUAGUUCAGAUUCUAUCAAAGUUAGCUUGGAACUUGAACACAAUUUGCAUUAUUUUAGUUUAAUUUCAUAAUUAAUCACCCUACUUGCACGGUUGCACCCUCAAUCCCUUGUAUAAAUACCCCCAUAUCUCUUACCUUUUAGUUUCAUCAUUCAUUCAAACACCUAGCUAUCUCAACUCUAAACUAUUUAGAAAUAUCAAGUAUGGCUUCUAAAACUCAAACCUCAGCUGCUUUUUUCCUUGCCCUCAAUCUUCUCUUCUUUUCCAUGUCAGUUAUCGCAGACCCUAUUUGCUCAAUUGAUCCACCACAGCUGAAUGUUUGUGCUGAUAUCCUUGGUAUACAACUAGCUAUUACAACUCACAGUCAUCCUUGUUGCACCCUUAUUCAUGGGCUUUCUGAUCUUGAAGCAUCUUUGUGUGUUUGCAAUGCCCUUAAAGCAAACAUAUUGGGUAUCGAUCUCACACUAAAGGUCGGCAUAGUUUUCACAACCUGUCAAAAGACUUUGCCAUCAGGUUACACAUGCAUUGUGUAAUUUGGAAGUACCAUUUCCGUAUCUGUGUGUUGCAUGGCAUCCUCUGCAAUAUGUAUCAGUUCUAUGUAUUGCUAGUUUAAUUUGCCAAUAAUGGAUGCCUACUGUCUUGUUGUUUGAUCUUUAAAUAAGACCUCUCAGUUUGUAAUAAAAGUUCAAACUAUUAUGUCAGGUACAUUAUGUUUUAUAUAUGUGUUGAUUUAUCUUCUUUUUUUUUUUUUUUUUGCCAAAAAGGUUGAACUUUAUUAAAAUGAAAAACCAAUAACAGAGCCUAAUAAGCACGCGUACUAAGAUACACUGUCAGGUAAACCUAGCAUACACAGAGACCCCUUAUAAGCCCACCCGGCCAUUCCACCAUAAACAGAAAUAAGAAACAAAGCUUGAUCAGGUGCACAGAACAUCAAACUUCCCAACCAACAUCUUGGAAGUAGGUACAAAUUUCUUGAUUGAUUCCCUUAAAACUGUCGAACUGCAGUAUCUUCAGCCUAUACCCUGAAAUCCUGAAUCACUAAUUCCCAAUCCAGUAACACGUCUAAGAACCCUCCCUUUAGAUCAUCCGUAGCCAACCAGUUCCAUAGAUAGGCCAUAGCUUUUUUCCUGACUUGGGUAUCCGACCUUCUCCUAUCCUGAAAAUACAAUCAUUUGUAGCAAUCCACACUCCGUAUGAGUCGAGUUUUACACCCUCAUUUUUGUACCCUGCAUUGGUAUUGGUAUUGCUCUCAGAGCAUCUACAAUGGCAUAGCUAAAAGUUAAGAUGCACUAAACCAGGACAAAUGGCUCAACUCUUGUAGUGUACUAAAAGUUAUGAAAAAAAAGUUUUAAGUGGUAGUGUAUUAUACACUACGACUUAACUUAUACACACUGUAUAUUUUUUUUACCGUAACGGAAGGUACAUGUGGUACCGCAAGAGGUUUAGAAUAGAAAUAAAGUACCUACGUCGCCAACGUAGCUUCUAUGUACAUCAGACUAAGAGUAAUAAAACAGAAUCCAAGCGAGUUAGAUAGAAAUAAAGUACCUACGUCGCCAAUUUCUCCUUAUAUCUACCUAGGUGAUGGUCCCUAGCUAUAAUGUAGAGAUUGAGCAUUGAGGGGAUCUAUGGAGUGUAGUACUUACAUAAUAUUCCAUCAAGAUCUCUAAGUUCUUCAUUAUAAACUACUAAUAAUACCACUUACAUUAUUACAACUUGCAUCGUAAUGUGGACAGCCAAAAGAUUUAUCAAUUUAAUUUGGACUUAAACAAAUGGUUUAUUGUGCCACAAUUCUAACAUGUUAGGCAGAGUUUAAUGGCUAGAUGAUAGAUCUGCAUGUUCUUCUCAGGUGAGAAAAUGGUGCGCUGGAAAAAAAAAAUCAUCUAAUCAGGAAUUAAAGCCACAUGGAAAAUAUUUUGCCCCAUCAGCACUAUUAAUUCUCAGUGUCGGAAUUGCAUAACUUGAUUAACUAAAAAAGAUGGUUAUAUGCACUUAGGUGCAUUUCGCAAUUGAUCCCAUUUUGCAAUUUGGUCGUACUAAGACUAUCAUGGCCUGAUGCCUUCAGAACUACUUGGCUCGCGGCCUUUGGCACAAUUUAGCUAACCUCUGCACACAUGAAACGGUUAAACUGUUAACAAGUGGUGUGUGGCUCACUGUCUCAACCAUGGAAAUCAUGCCGUUGGGACUUUUUUUUUUUUUUUUUUAGCAAAAGUUCUAUUCUAUUGCAUAUAUAAUACCGAUAAGCAGUACAAAAGCAUACCUAAUUUAGGGUCAGGCCUGGUAAACCAAACACCUGAAUUUGCACAGCUCAAAGACCUCUUAGCUAACAAGUCUGCCGACAUAUUAAUAUUAGUAUUAGCUUCUCCACACCAUGUAUAUAGAGAAAGUGACACUUUCUUAUAUUGUUAAAUUCUAUAGUUUUCUAAUAUUUGGUAACUACUACAUCCGAUUAGUUACCAUAAUUUUGGUAAGGGUAUGGAUAUAACCAUAGUCUUUAAAUGUGGGCAGUUUGUUUGGAAUGUGAGCUGCAUGCAAAUGCCCAAAAUGUUCUCAUAGAGCAUUCUAUAUACGGAGUACUAAUUAAUCCAACCACACUCAUCGGUUAUAUUUAGCAAUCCAACCGCAUUCAUAAAAUAAUCUUGUUAUAUGUUCUGUAUCUUUUCAUUUUCUUCAAACACAACUUCAAGUAUUCUAGCUCUACAUUUCUCUUCUUUUGGCUCUCUAAAAGUAAUUGAAUUAAUAAGGAUUCUGAAACGACUGCCCUCGCCCAGUUUCUCAACGAUGAAUUCGGUUACUGCUUCUUUGAACAUGUCUACAUGUGCUCAAACCAUUUCCAUGUUCAACCAUGGGCAUACACCAAUACAGAAGUCUUGUUUGAUGGAAAGCCUAGUUGAAAAGAGGCCUAGUUCCAAGUCAUCGUGGAAACGAAGUACCAAAAGAGUGCUUUCAAUCUCUGCAGCACUAAGGAAGGAAGAAGUAAUCGAAAACCUCCACAAAGGUUCCAGUUCUGCCUUCAAUUUUGAUUCUUAUUUGUCCCAGAAAGGGAAGUCUGUGAACCAAGCUCUUGACAAGGCUGUCCCACUCAAAGAACCGAAAAUAAUUCAUGAAUCUAUGCGGUACUCUCUUCUAGCCGGAGGCAAACGUAUUCGCCCUAUUCUUUGCAUUGCUGCCUGUGAGCUUGUUGGUGGAGAUGAAUCAGCUGCGAUGCCUGCAGCUUGUGCAGUGGAGAUGAUCCACACAAUGUCUUUAAUACAUGAUGACCUUCCGUGUAUGGAUAAUGAUGAUAUGCGUCGAGGUAAACCAACAAAUCACAAAGAAUUUGGUGAAAAUAUUGCAUUGUUAGCCGGAGAUGCACUUACAUCGUUUGCAUUUGAGCACAUUGCAAAUGCUACAACUGGCAUUUCGCCUUCUAAGAUUAUUCGGGUGAUUGAUGAAUUAGCCAAAGCGUCCGGAGCAGAUGGUGUUUUCGCAGGGCAAGUUGUGGAUAUUAUUUCUACUGGCGUGUCUAACAUUACUUUGGAACAACUUGAAUUGAUCCAUUCUCUGAAGACAGGUAAGUUACUUGAAGCAUCAGUAGUCAUGGGGGCAAUCUUUGGAGGUGGAUCAGAUGAAGACAUUGAACUUCUGAGGAUAUUUGCAAAGCGCAUUGGCUUACUAUUUCAAGUUGUGGAUGAUAUUCUUGACGUUACACAGUCUUCUGAAGAAUUGGGUAAGACAGCUGGAAAAGAUUUGAUGACUGACAAGACUACUUAUCCCAAACUUAUGGGUCUAGAGAAAUCAAAAGAGUUUGCCGAAAAAUUAAACAGAGAAGCUAAAGAACAACUCUCACAUUUUGAUUCAAAAAAAGCAGCGCCGUUGAUUUCUCUAGCAGAUUACAUUGCUCAUAGACAGAACUGAUUAAGAUAGUUACCAGAAAAAUAAUAAUUGUGUGUAGAAGUUAUGAAUAGUACGUGUAGUUGAUGUUGGUUACGUUGUUUUAAUUUGUUUGGUGAAGAUAUAUAUAUAAUAAUUAUGAUUAUUAAAACCGAUAUGGCUGGUUCGUCGUGAUCAAAUUAUUGUUGAAAGUAUGAUAUAUGAUUUUCAUCAUCAAAUCAAAGUUAUUGUUUAUCCUUCAGACAAUAACAAUUUGAUUAUUUCUGGAGGGAGAGGCUGCAAUAAGCAAAUCUGUUGGCCCAACAUUCAAAUAUACUACAUUGAGCCCAUUAAGUUUAAUGGGCCUAAAAUCAAACCCGGCCCAUUAAGUUUGAGCUCCAUGUUACACUGUCUCACAGUCUUACGACAACAAAAUCAUAACAAGACCCAAAAAGUCAAUGGAAUGAUCUUCAUGAUGAUGACAAUAUGAAAGAUGGAAAUUUGUUUUCCCAUUGACUUUCCCAAUUAUGCUGAAAUCAUCUUCUUUUAUCCACAGGAAAAAACUUUGCCAAAAAAACAGGAUAAGUUCUAAACCAAUUUUUUCCCAUGGUUGCACUGCACUUGCACAUCACAGUGUAUGUAUUUAAAAGAGUCCUUUCUAAGACUUUGGGUCCACUAAAAUCUAAAUGAUGAAUGCUUGGCCCAUUCCUUGCAUUUCAUCUUGGAAGGAAAUUUGUUUGAAAAUGAUGAUUGGGUUCUUUCUAAUGGUAAAACAUGAAGGAAAUGAAGAUGUGGAUUGUGGAGUAUAAAAGUAAUAGUGUUAAAAAAAAA